Molecule: long non-coding RNA, 58209 nt
Filed under: Gossypium barbadense (sea-island cotton)
Lineage: Eukaryota; Viridiplantae; Streptophyta; Magnoliopsida; Malvales; Malvaceae
Description: long non-coding RNA (GBAR_LNC021337)
Source: RNAcentral
CUACUUCUUCGUGUAGUCAAACUAUUCAGUGUAUCAGUGAUGUCUUUCACCUUCGUGAUCAUGGAAUUAUUAAACUGAAAAGAAGUGGGAGGGAAAAUACUACGAAUAAUCCUUUCAGGAAUGAAUUUCCGGAUCUUACUAGGUCUGGCUUGAGCUUGAGUGUCUUGGAGAUUGAGGCGUAACUCUUCAUAAGCGAACUCGUCCAAGAUGUCAUCCACAUCGUAAGCCAAGUCCUGGAGAUCCUCCAACCAUUUCUUCACACCCAUGUUCUUGAUCUGCUUCUCCUCUGCAUCGUCCAACACUGCUUGGAUAUCAGGCAAUAUGGACUGCCACUGCUUGAGCUGCUGGUGGAGUUGGUAGUGAUCAGCAACAAAGUUGAGUGCAGAGUCAAGCGAUUUGCCCACCAACAGGUCCAGGAACCCAGAAAGAGCAGCCUCUCCAAUGACAGACAUGGUGGAAUUGUGAGAAAUAAGGUGACAAGAGAAAUCAGCAAAGCCAAAAUGGAAAGCCAGGGAACAAAAAAGAAGGAAAGGGAAAUGGAAUCUGCAAAAUUAGAGAAAGUUGAAGAAAUUGGCACAAUAUCCUUGAAGCAUGUAAUAUAAUAAUACAGACUAUGAGGCAAUGAGUUGGAAGUCACUGGGUACAGAUAAAGAAGCUGCUUUUCGUUGAAUUUUGAUGCUCUUCUUUUCUCUUGCUUUUGGUCAUUAUCCUAAAUUGACCUUCACCGUAUAUGUAAUUUAAUUAAACAUCAAAAUAUUAUAUUCCUCACAACUUUAUCGCCAAAAUAUAGCCAACACCAAUACUCUAAAUUUUUGAAUCACAAAUAUUUACAUUAUUUAGCAUUUAGAAAAAAAAAUCCAAAAUUAAAUGAUAAUUUUUACAAUUUUAUAAUUUUAAUAGUCUGUAUCUUUAUAAAAUUUAAAAGAUUAAAUCAUAUUUUUAUCAUAUUUAGGGGAGCAAAGUAUAAUUUUUAUAUUUACUAAUUUAAAAUUUUAAAAUAUUUAAAGAGUCUAAAUGAAAAAUUUUCCAUUUUCGAGGACCUUGCCAACCCCCUAGCUACGCCCGAGAUUGGUUGUAGCUAUAUUGUUAAUUAACUUACUAUUUUACUAUUUAUAGUAUUAUUUAAACUUAUGACUAGUUGAUGUCACGAAUUAAUCGGGUACCAACUUGGUUAAAGAAAAUAUGAAAAUGUCACUCUAGUCUUUUUAUUAUAAAAAUAAAAAUAAAAAUUUGUGCAUGGGAUUUUGAACCCAUACCAAUUAUAUUAAUAAAUUAUUAAUUUACCAUUCAACUAAAACUUUAAUAUUUUUAUACAUUUUAAUUUUAUUAUGCACACUUUAUUGUUAAUUAAUUUCAAACCUUAUGCUUUAAUUAUUUAUUGCAUGUUAUAUUCAAACGCACACUUAUAUUCUAAAUAUAUGAUUCCCGAACAUACAUGUGUGAUAAGUAUACUAAUUGUAACCUGUCUUCCUAAUUGUUGUACUAAUUUAUGAUUUGCUUUCUUACUAGAUUUGUUAGCCAAACUCAAAUUACCUUCCUUUUAGAUCAAUUAAUUCACUUAAACCUAACUCAGUUACAUUUCUUUCUAGAGUGAUUAACCAAAAUAAUCGACCCAACCGAUUAAACGAGAUUGUUUCUAUUAUUAUAUUUAUGAAAUCGUGAUCGUUUAGUUAUUGGUAUUUUUUGUUGGGGUUAGGUUAAUUUAAUUUUCAAUUUUUCUAAACUAAAAUUUACAUCUAGAUUUUGAUGAUGAUUGCUUGUCCACAGUCCAUGGGUUUCAAUUAUACCAACCUAUUCAAUCUUCUUUUUUCCCUAAUGCAUGUGAGGUCUCUUUUUCUUUUCCUUAGCAAAGUAUUUAGGGUCUCUCUUUUUUUGUCAAAGUAAUCUUUAUCUUCAAUAAGAUAUCCAUUAAUCUUUUUAUGUAUUUCUAAUAUACAUGCUAUAUAUAGUAAAAUGAUAUAUAUAUAUAUAUAAUCUACACUAAAUAUGAGAAGAUUAUAAAUAUAAUAAUCUAUAAUUUUUAUUUAUUUAUGCCUUUUUCCAACUACGACGCUCUGAUUUUUUUUAAUUUCUUUUUCAUUUUUUAAUCAGUCCUAUUUUAUGCAAAUUCAGAUGUGUAUAUGAAGAUAUAAUUUCAUAUAUUAUUUAUCAUUCACAUUCAAAUCCAAUUAACAUAAACUUGAAGAUUCAUUUCUAACUCAUUGGUUAUUAUUUGUAAUUUCAUAGUUUAGUUGAAAUGACAAAGUUAAGACUUUGCAGAUAUGAGUAUCUUAAUAAUUUAUUUUGGAUUUAAACUAUCUUUUUUUAUAGAUUUUAUAUAAACACAUAAAUAAAAAGACAAAAAGCAAACUCAUAAUAUUAUUUGUACCAUUUAAAUAGAAACCACUUUUUUUAAGUUAUUUUUCAACUAAAUUGAUCUUUAGUUAAACUCGUGACUCCAACUCAAUUAGAUAAUUAAAUAUAGUAUAAAUAACAAAAAUAGAAUUGAAAUUGACAUACACGUAUGUUGUGUGUAGCCUUAAAUACUCCUCUUUCAUGGUGUUCACCUCAAUUCAAGGGCGGAGCUAAAAAAAUUUUUUAGAGGAGGCUGAAAUAAAGUUGUAUAUUUUUACGAUGCAAAAAUAACAUUUUCCUAUUUUAAUAGCGUAUAUCUUUAUAAUUUUUAAAGGGUUAUAUUAAAUUUUUUUUAUUCUUGAGGGGGUCAAAGUGUAAUUUUACCACAUACUAAUUUAAAAAAUUUAAAAUUAUAAAAGGACUAAAGGUGAAAUUUUCCAAUGUAGGGGGAAUCGGGCCACUGCCAGCCCCCUUAGCUCCACCCCUUCCUCAAUUCCUUGCAACUUCUGCUUAUGUAACAAAAAAAAAAUUAGAAAUAUAAUUAUUACUGUCGACUGAGUCUUAACUCAGUUGGCAUCAAUAAUAUUAAAAAAAAUUUUGAAACAUGCUUUUUCAUUUAAAAUAUAAAAAUUAAAAUAUAAUUAAAAAACUCACUCACCUCAUUAUCAUAGAAAAAUCUUCAUUCACCUUUUAGCUGUUUUUUUAUUGAAAAAGCCCCUCAUCAUUUGACUUCUUUUUUUUUUCUUCUUAAUUUUGAAUUUAUUGAAUGAUGAAUUUUUACUUGUAGAGUUUAUUAAUCAAUAUUUUAUUAAUUGAUGAAUAUUUUUAUAUUUAAAAUUUAUUUAUAUAAAUAUAUUAAAUAUUUUAAAAAAUAUCGAUAAAUUCGAAAUAGUACAUGAAAUAAACUAGUAUCAAUACGUACCGAUUUUCAUAGAAAAGUGGUGCAUCAACCAAUGUGGUAAUGGCUACCUUGAAAGUAACUAUGUGGCAUACUUGUUUGCAAAUAAAUGGGUUAAACCAUGUUGAGUCAGUAUUGUGGGUAGCUAUAAUGUUUGAUGCUUUGUUUUCUAUGAAUAUUUUGUUUUGAUGCUUUUGAUAUGUGCUGAUAUUUGAGGAUAAGUAUUGGGAUAUAUAUGACUACCUGAAUUUUUAUGAUUUGCUAUACUGUGGUUGUUGUAUUAAUAAAUUUAUGUUUUGGAUUGAGAAAAAAAAAUAAGAAAUUCAAAACACAAAAAAGAAAGUAGGGAAAAUGAACACAAUGAUAUACGUGGUUCGAGAAUAAUCCCUACAUCCUUGGGUAGAACUAAAAAUGAAAUUCACCAUUAAAAAAUAGAGAUUACAAUGGAAUUACGUCAUAAAAUAAAAUGCCUCGCCAAUAAUUAUCCACAAACUUGGAGCAAUUUUUUAAAUGAACAUCAGCUAUACACUUUCCGCGUUUUGAGAAAUACCUAGCAAUAAUAAAUAACAAGUGACCAACAAUCUCAAAAUGUCAAAAACAAUACUUUAUUUAAAGCAUCCUAGCCUCUUAUCAAUCAUCAAUGGAGACCUAAGACAGAUUCAAGAUUUGUGUAGAUAGAAAUAGUUGAUACUAAAAGCAUUAGAAACCAAAAUUACCACGCUGUGCCGGUGUUGUGCCCAUAAGCUGGUAUUGCCCUCUUUGGAUGCCCACCAUUCAAGGGUUUAUCACCCAAAGGUACGUACACCUCCCCAUUGGUACCAUUUGGCCUUUUAUCUGCCACCAAUUUCAUGGUUCCCAAAGCUGAACGAAAGUACAAGGCUAAAUAAAUAACAUAUUUGGCUCCUCGACUACAACUAUAUACCAAGCACCAAAAUAUGCUCCAACACAGGAAAGGAAUGUCAGAAGAACAAAUUCUCCAUAUAACCUAUACUUACCCUAUCAUAAACAUUGAUAACAUCACAAUUGAAGCCUUUCAAAGCAGGGGAAAUUCAUAAAAAGAUUGAUAGAAAAUAUGCCUAUCUAUCGGACCGGAAAGCUGAAAAGCAACAUUAAAAGUGUUGAAGUUAGUUCCCAUGCAACGAGUGUAGCAGCAAUCGUUGCCAUGCAACUCACAUGGAGCAAAGAAGCAGCACAUGCAGAUCGUGAUAAAACGCAGCAGCUGGAGCCUAUGAAUGCUGUCCAAAUUCAACCUAUUUUGUUGCUUUGUAACUUAGUUCUUUUAGAACUUAGUUGGUAAAUCUUUUGAUGUAAUUUUAGAUGUUGAUUGACUGAAAAUUCAGCAAAGCAACUAGUACAAGCUAGUUUAGCAAUUUUCAAUGUAUUAAGUGGUGUUAGGUAAGUGUUUAGGUAGUAUUUUGACUUGUAAGCUUAACUCAUGUUUGAUAUAUGUAAUGACAACUUGCCAAUACUUGGUUAAUGAAAAAAAUCAGUUUGUUUUUCAUUCAUAUACUCUCCAUUUUUCUGCUUUCAAUUCUGUUCUUUACAAAAAGGAAAAUUUCUGCUUUGUUUCUUCUCUAAGUCACGAGACUUGCUGAUUAAGCUAAAGCAAAAUCAGCUUGUGCACUGCCACUAACACCAACAAAAAGAGAGCUGCAAUGAAACUAGUUCCAAACUUCUACAGUAUAUAUAUCAUUUGAUUCAUUUAACUCAUACCACAAAGUCAAAAGCGAAAGAGUCCAGAUAUAGUGAGUCACUUAGUCACUGCUAUUUUUGGCUAGAAAAUAAAGUAUUUUUGUACCUCUAAGUAAAAGCGAAAUAAAUAAAGUCACAUAGUCAAUCACUUACACAGUGAGUUUGUUUUUGUCGCUCAAUCCACAUGACCAAAGAAGCAAUUCCUCAUCCAAGUGAAUUGAUGCAGCCUUUGAAAAGGUUCAUGGUCUGAGAAAUUCGGAGAACUAAGAAGGACAUCUUUGAGAUUUGGACAGAACAAUAUUUUGGGAGCUCUGUUGUCUUACAUGUGUUAAAUUGAGCUCUCUAAUGCCAUGUUGUAACGUGUCCUGUAUCCCUGCAUUAAUCCUGGAAAGAUCAAACUAUCACGUAAAAGACUUGUUCUUCUGAAAAACCAUUGGUUAAUAGUACUACGAAAUGUCAAAUAUUUCAAAUCUCUAAUAUGAAAACCAUCACCUUCCCCUAUAAUAAAAUCAGUUAACCUUUGAAGAUUCGUUAGUUUAUCAAUUCUAGAAGGAAUCCUUCCAAUUGAGUACACACCUCUUAUAUCAAGAUAAUGCAAGUUGACAAGAUUUCCCAUCUUUGAAGGUAGAUUUUUUUUCUAAUAAUUAGAAAUUAGUGAAUAAUAAUGAGUAGUUUUGUUUUUGAGAAAAAAAAUAAAGAAAUAGUUUUAAUUGAGAAAAUGAUUUUUUAAGAAAUGUUGAAAUGAUGUAAUCAUCUCUAUAUUUAACAAAAUAAUAACAUUAGAUUUUUCAUGCUUUUACCAAUUGAGUUUGUAUCGCUUGAUUUGAUGUACCAAAUUUAAUUAGACAUUUUAUCAUAGUAUAAAUAAUUAUCUUGUAAUUAUAUGUAUUCAAAUUAACUUAAUUUUUAAAUCCGUCGCCAAUCUUUAUAUUUUUUUCUCUCUUAUAAUUAUAUUUUUACAUAAUGUUUUUAUAAUAUAUGAUAUGAUCAUAAAUUAAACCCUUAAUUGUAGUUAUUAAGCUUGCAUUUUUUCCACUAAAGUCAAGAAAUUAUUUUUUUAUUGGGAAACAUUUUAUAUUAGUUAAUUGUGAGAAAACAUUUUUAUGUGAAAGUGUGUUUAACUAAUUAUAUUAUAGAAAAGUAUAUUUGAUAACAGGCUCAGUUUACAUGUUUAUUGUGCUUAAAUUUGAUAAAUUCUUUAAUGAGAUAUCAUUAAUUUUGGAUUUAUUAUUUGAUUUUUUGAUUAGGUGCAAAAGGCAAACUUAGAAAGUAAAAAAAGAGUCGGAAAUACAAGUUGUUGUAAAAGUUUGGGCCAUGAUCUAUCUUAUUUUUUUGGUACAAUAAUAUGGCAAAACUCGAACAACAAACACAAUUAACGUGACUCAAACCCAAACCACACCUGGGACAGUGAACACCUUUGACCAUUAAGCCAUCAUAUAGGGUUCGGAAAAGAAAAAGAGUACUUUUAAUUUUUGAUUAGGAUGAUAUUUUAAUUUUCUAGUAUUUUAUCUUUUGAUAUAUUUUUAGAUAACACUCUAAUAUUGGAUUAGAUUAAAAAAUUUAAGUAGGAUUAGGCAUUUUGAGUUUUAUAUAUAUUCUAAAAAGGACAGCAAUUCAAUUGCUUUCUUUUCUUCUCUGUUUCUAAUUCUGUUCUUUCUUUCUCUGGCACAAUAUUGUGCCGCCACGCCACCCUCCCUUUUUUUUUUCCUUUCUUUUAUUUGUUUAUUUCUUUUAUUUAAUUUUUGUUGAACCCUUUAUGCUAGUAUGCUUAAUUUCAUGAGUAAUUAAACUUCCCAUCUAGCUUUUAAGUCAAGAGUCGAUUUGGGAGAGAGUUAUACGAUUCAAAAUCGCACUUUAAAACUUUUAUUUCAAUAUUUGUUAUUUCUCUAGUUUAGGAGAUAGAUACUAUCGUCUCAUAAGGUUGUUUUGGCAUCAAAUGAGUUCAUUGCUUUGGUUUUAAUAAAGAAUCAAUACUAUCGAUUGUUGUAUUCGAUCUACCAAAAAACACAUUGGCGUGUCUAAUUAAGUGGUUGAUGUAAAUAGUACUUUAACAAAUAACUACAUGGAUGGUGAGGAUGAGUAAAAACUUUUAAUAUCAUCCAUAUCUUUUAUAGGUGGUGUAUUGCUCUGUAGUAUAUACACUUAAUGGGUUGGCCCAUAUGAGUGUGUAGUGGGGCAGCUUCUAUGAGAUCUUUGGCAAUCUUUAGAGCACUCAUAAAAAUUAGGCACGCGCAUGACCUAUUAGCACACAAUCGCAUUGAAGAAUGAAUCAUAAAUAUAAUGUGGUAAGUGAGAAGGUUAAUUUGGAAAUUAAAUAAUAAAUUCAAAAACUUAUUUCAUCAAUUAUUUAAGUAAAUCAUGUCUCAUUUGUUAAAAAUUCUGGUUCACAGUCCAAAUGACAAUAUGAUUAUUGCAAUAUAUCGAAACACUCACUUAAAUUUAUAACUUAAAUCUUUGAAAUAUGUGGGAGAUUAUUGGAAGUUUUCAUGUAUUUUAAAGAACUACAAAAAUCUCACAUUGCUAAAAAAAAUAAAAAAAAAUCUUGAGUCAUUAUACUUCUUUGAACUUAAUAAGAACCAGAUUGAGAGAGUAGACACGUGCACAUUCGAGCCUUUUUGUUUUUGGACAUGUUUUUUUAUUGAAGUUUUGAAAGUCAAAUAAAAGUGAACUUGUAACACCUAUAUGCUAAAUAUAAUUUAAUCGAUUGAAGCUAUUUUUAUUUAAGUUCAAAUUCAUUGAACCAUUUUCAAACUAGUUUUAGCUAAUUCAAUCAACUUACCUUUGCUAUAUUAAGCCAAUGAAAUCCAUAUAAAUACCAUGCACGGCAGUUUUCAAAGUUACUCAUUAGCUUUCACAUUCUCAUCUAAAUUUCUUCUGUAUUCUCUUUAGAAAAACCUUCCUCCUACAAUCUUAAUUGAGUGUUUAAUUGGCCGGCUCUUUAGAAAAGCCUUCAAGGAUAAUGAUAUUCAUGCCUCAAGCCGUGAUUCUUAUUUUCUAAACCUCCGAUUUCUUAAGAGAACGUCAAAGGCAACAACCAGUCAAAUUUUAAGUUCAAUUAAAUGAAUUCACAAACUUAUAGAGUUUAUUAUUUUUAUUUUAAUUAGUAUCAAAAGUUUUCAAUUCAAAUUUUAAUUUUGUUAUUCAAGCUUUAUCUCAAAUCAAGCUCAAGCUUUUAAAAGUGAAAUUUGAUUGAGCUUAAGCUAAAUUUUGAGUAUCGAAUUUUAAGUUAACUCAAAAUUUUGAAGUUAAGCUUUGACUUGAUUACACGGUUAGUGUAAAUCGUACAAAUGUAAAGUAUAAUAUAAUUAUAUAAAUUUUGAUACUAUAAUAAUUUCAAUUUUAAAAUUUUAACACAACUAUGGUCUAAAAUGUCCCAUUAUCAAGAAGCUUAGAAAUUGGAAGAUGCAGAUGAAAACAGAGCAUUCAAUUUGCUGAAUAAAUGUUGCAGAGAAUUAAGUAACCGCUUUAUUAAAUCAAAUAAGCUAUAGCAAAUCAGUUCAGUGCCUGCAAAAUUAAAUACAGAAUAUAUACGACUGACUGCUAUUGUCAUCUUGUUCCUGAGGACAGUCAGAUACAUGGAACUAAAGCAGCCAAUGUUUAAAACGGUUUCAUACCUGUGAAACAACAUAAGGUACGUGGGAAAUCUUGGACCACUCUCGUCCUUUGCCCCUAAAAGUGGACAUAAUUAAAAAGGACUUGUCUGUGAUAGAAAAUGGGGGGCUUUAAUUAAAUUACAACCAACAAGGAUGAACUCUGUUUCUGGAUUGAAAUAUUGGAAUUGGUAAUCAGUGACUUAUUCACUAAGAACUAACUAUUCUGUCACCUUAUAUUCUUCCUAUAAUUUCAGGUUUAAUCCUGUUGAUUUAUACAUUCAGUCCACUGCAAUAUGAACCCGUGAAAACCACACUAAAUGAAACUGACCGUUUAAGGAUCCCAUUCGUAUGAUGCAGCACUGCAAUGGGUAAUUAAACUGACUGUUCAAUCCUGUUUCUGUACACUAUGCUUCUUCAAAAUCAUGCCUAGCCGAACUCUCUGACAUUGUGGACCGCAAGCCCACUCAAGGACAUAUUGUUCUUCCCAUCUUUUACCAUGUUGAUCCCUCUGAGGUUCAGCAUCUUAGUGGGAGUAUCAAGACAUACUUUGAUGACCAUGAAUCAAAGAGGCCUGUUGAUGAAGUGAAGCGAUGGAAAACUGCCUUUGUUGAAGUCUGUAAAUUAAUUGGGUGGCAUAUAGGAGGAAAAUUCGACAAGCAACAAUAUAGUUUCUUUUUCAUUUUCUUAUAUAUUUAACUCUCUUUUUUUUGGUUUAUUUGCUAGGCUUGAAUUCGAGUACAUUAAAGAUAUUGUUGAAUAUGUUAUAAAAAGAAGAUGACAAAUAGCGAGUCUAAAAGUGCUUCUUAAGAAUUUGUUGGAAUAGAUGAUCAAUGAAGGAUGAUUUUGAGGCCAACUGAGGAAGAAGACAAUCCUAUAUUAGGAUGAUUUUGAGGCUGAUUGAUGAAGACGACAUUUGUUUGUGAGUUUUAUGUUUUGUCUUUGGGUUUGUGCUUGUUAAUUGUUGAAUGUUUCUCGCUCAAUAAGUUUGUAGGCGAUCCAACUUGAAAAUUAGGAUUAACACUGUGUGGUGCACAAAUUCUUGCGUGACCGUGUCUUGCUUGUUGAUGCUUGAAAAUUGAAAGAUUCUUAUUUAUGCUUAUGUUAAACGGGAUGCAUUUUUAAGAUUAGGGUAGGAUGUGAUUUUUGUGUGGCUAAUCUAAGUUUGAUAUUUUAAAGGUAAACUACCCGUUAAUUACUCUAAAUAAUGGUUGUUUCUAUUUCCUCACCUUAAGGCUUUUUUCUUUUUUCUUUUUAAAUUUGGUCUCUCUAAAAAGAAAUUGAUCAAAUUGAUCACCCCAUCAUUAAAGGGUAAAGGAAAGACUAAUGAUACAUUUCAUGUAUUGUUUUGGGUGACUAAAAUAGGAAAAAAAAAACACCUCCAUUUAAAGUGGCUAAAAGGUAGUUUACCCUAUUUUUAAAGUGAAUAUAAUUUUUUAUGAUUUUUAUAAAAUUUUACAAUUUCUUAUAUUUUUUCUAAUUUUUAAUAAAUUUUUAAUAUUUGAAUAUUUUACUAAAAUUUAAUAAUAUUGAUAACUUUUAUAAAUUUUUUUUCUAAUUUUUAAUAAAAACAAGGGCUUAAUUGUUUUUCUUGAAAAAGUCUAAGGGUGUACAUUUUGAAAGUUCAAGUACCCAAUUGAGUGAAAAAAAAAAGUAGGGGCUUAAUUGCUUUUUUUUUUUAAAAAGGUUUAAAGGCCUUUUUGAUGCAUUUUGAAAGUUCAAGUGCUCAAUUGAGUACAAAAAUUAUGGGUAAAGAAUAGAGAUUAUAAUGAACUCACAUCGUAAAUUAAAAUACCUCACUAUGAUAACUAUCCACAAACUUCGAGCAAGGUUGUAAAUGUUCAUCAACUACAGGGAUUUAAAUUGCGGUCGCGAUCGCGUUUUCGGUUGCGUCGCGUUUGUCGCGGUCGCGGACAUAACGGACGCUAUUGCAGUCACUGCGGGUAUCGCGGUCGUGAAUUUUUUUCAAAUUCACACAACUAACUGUAAAACAUAGUAAUUAUAAUUAUAAUUAUAAAAAGUCACUUUUAAUGAUUUUUAGAGUGUUUUCUAACACUUAUGAACAUUUAUUAAUAUGACAUGAGAACACAACUUUUAUAACCAUUAAUUAUUCUUAUAUUUAUUUACGAAUUUUCUAAGAAUGUUAUAUUAACUAAUAACAAAGUAAAAAAAAGGAAAUAUUAAACAUUUAUCAUAUUUAAUAAGUUUGAAAGUUUUUAUAGAUAAAAGAAUUGAGAAUUCAUAAAUUAGAGAUGUCUUCAAUAUUUCUUUUGACAGCUUUGAAGAUAGUGAAGAUAUAAAUAUGCUGCAAAAGGAAAAAAGGAAUAGAUAAAUUAAUGAAUAGAUUCUCAUUAAUUAUUCCUAUUUCCUACCACUUAUUCUCAUCUCAUUCUACUUUUAACAUGCUUCGAUUCUUCAUUAUCUUUUCAUAAAAUAUACUUCAUUCAUUUAUCUAAAGAUAUAUAUUAUUUUAAAUGUUUUAAUAUCAUCAAAAUUAAGAACAAUAACAAAAGAUUUCUUUAAAAAAAAACAUACCUUACAAAUAAUGAUAGUGGCACGAUUUAGUUUUCACCAAUUAGUGGAAUGACGAGGAAGAUCAAAUCCUUCACCUUCACUUUGGGAGCGUUCUUGACUUGAUUCUCUUGGCCUUUGUCCAAAAAUAUAUCCAAAAAAAGAAACAUUUUCACCUUGGUUUUCAUUCAAUUGAUAUGGAGGAUAUAUUUGAGGAUGAGGAUACAUGAAAGGUGGAGGUGGGUGAUACAUUGGUGGAGGAGGAUACAUUUGAGGCCGGUAUGGCACACCAUAAUUAGGAAAUGGUGGAUAACAACCAUAUGGUUGUGGAUAACCAUGUGAAGGUUGUUCUGGUGGAUAAAAACCUUGAGUGCUAGUAGAUGAAUCACUAUACCCAAGGUUACUAGAACUCGAUCUCCUACCACUGCCAGAUGAAGAGCCUAUAGAAGUAUGCUUCUUGCCUUUUCCCUUUGAUGGAGCUCUAGGUUCACUUCUAUCUCUCCUAGGUUCAGGAAACAUAUUUCCAUCAAACUCUGAUCUGUCACGAAAAUGUCCACCAGUGGUACCACCCCCAUAUUCUCCUCCAUACUAACUAGAAUACCGAAUUUCACCUCUAUCACCACUAUAUCCAUCAUCCUCAUCAAUUGGACUUAAACCACCACCAUCGGGUCCAUCGCCACUCUGACUUGGAGUUGAACUAGAACUUGAAUGAGACAAAAAUUGUUGUUGCGAUUGAUCAACAUCCAUUUCAUCAUCAGAGGUAUCCACAGGCAACACACCGGCAUUUUCACCAUCUAACAAUGGAUUCUCUUUCUCAUGAAGCCAUUCUGAUAGUGGAUCAACAUCUUCAAAGAUAUAAUCAAGGCUGAUAAGAUUAAAACUAGCAUUUAUAUCAUCAGUGCUCAUUCUUUGUUGAUGCCUCAUCUUAAGCCUCAUAUUAUAAUAGGUAAACACUAGUUUUUCAAGUUUUUUAUACUUUAACCUAUUUCUUGCCUUGGUGUGAAUAUAACUAAAUGUGCUCCAAUUUCGUUCGCAAUUUGAUGCUGAAGUUGUUUGACUAAGCACUUUAAUUGCUAAUUUUUGUAAUUCGGGAACACAUGUGCCGUAUAUCAUCCACCACUCAACUGCAUAAUAUUAUUUAAAUUUCAAAAUAACUUUAAAAUGUACAAUAUAAUUAAAUAAUAUAAAUUAAAUUAAAUAAUUUAAUUAACUGUUUACCCGAAUUCAUUUGCUUCCAAGAUCUUUGUGCUUGUGGAGUACCGAAUGUCUCAUGUUUAUCUCUAAAUAGUAACAACUGCAUAAAUAAAAGAUAGAGUAAAAAUAAAAAUAAAAAUUCUAUUUCAAAUGAUUUAACUAAGUUACAAAUAAUAGUAGUUGAAUCUAACCUGAUUAACCAUUCUGACUUGAGUAUCCAUAGAAGGUUCUAAUCUUUCAAUUACUGAUCGUGUACCUUCUAAUGUUUCUAUUAGUACAUUCUCAGAAUGCUCCAUCCCAAAUUGAAAUUGAGGGUUGAGAAAAUAACCUAAGUAUAAUUUAUAAGAAUAUCAUCAAAUAAUAAUAAUCUAAAGCUUAAAAUAAUAAAAUAUAAAAAUAGUUUUUAAUUAUAUGAAACAUUUUAUCUUACCAGCUGAAUGCAAGUCGGAAUGCAUAAAAUUCCAUCUAUUGUCAAUAAUCUUUUCAUACUCUGUGAAAUAUCGACAAUUUUGUUGAAUUGCUCGUUUAGCCCUAUCAACAGCCUCAUAAAUAAAGCCCAUCGUUGGUUUUUCAUCGCUAUCCACAAGUCUCAAUACUCUUACUAAGGGCUCAUAAACUUUUAUGAGGUCAUUGGCUUUUUUCCAAAAAUCUUUUCCCAAAACAAUUUUUUUGGCUUCAUAAGCAGGCCCUGACUUUUGCUUUCCCCAUUUUGAUUCUUUAAAUUCCUAUAUAUUCAUAAGAAAAAUUUUAAAAUAAUAUAAUUUAAAUUAUUUGGAACUAAUAAAAUCACUAAAGGUUACUAUAUUUAAGUAAUUAUAUUAACUAAUUAUAAAAUACUGACCUUUGAAUUAAACAUUUCUCUCAAACCUUGCUUUUGUCUUGUUAUCUCUUCUAGUUGAAUGAAAUGAGUUGAAAAUCGAGUAAGAGCGGGUUGAAGUAUUUGUUUCCCUUGUGUAUACUUCUUCAUCAAAUCAACAGUCCAAAUGUGAUUGUAUAUAAAGCAAGUCACUUUCUUUGCCUCAUCUAACACUUUUGCUACACUGGGCUUUUUCCCAAUAUCUUCAAGGCAUAAAUCUAAACAGUGAGCUGCACAUGAGGUCCAAUAUAGAUGUUGUCUUUUCAACAUUAAUUUUUUUCCAGCAGCUUUCAUUGCUGCCUCAUUAUCAGUCACUAUUUGGACAAUGUAAUUUUCUCCAAUUUCUUCUACAACUGAAUCUAACAAACGGUAGUAGAAUUCAGCAUCUCUACUACGGACACUUGAGACAUCUACCGAUUUCCAAAAAAUGGUUCCUUUACUGCAAUAAACAAAAAAAUUAAUGAUGUGCAUUUGAUUCAAACUGUUGGUCCAACCAUCACACAUUAGAGUUGCACCCAAUUCUUUCCAAUGAGUCUUUAGUACAUUUACCCAAUCAUGAACUCGUUGAUACUCUGACUCCAAAUACACAUCUGAAACCUUAUAAGGUGUUGGGAGCUUUACACCUUGUCCAACUUCUGUUGCCACUUGAAUUAAGUUAUACAACCAUGGAGAGCUUGCUAAUUGAAAAGGAAGUCUUUCAUAUAUUAUAAAUUUAGAUACCGCUUCACCUAUCUUCCUUCGAAAACUCUUUAAAAAAGAGUCAUUGACCUUUGGUUGCUUUGAACUUUUACUUCUAACCAAUUCAGGUAUAGCUCCCCUUAAGGUAAACUCAGACUCACCUGGAAUAGAUUUACUUGUUCUUUCUCUAUUAUGUUCUCUAGCUGAUCCAUGAGAAGAUCGCCCUUCUUCAUAAAUGUUAUCCCAACCACCAGUACUUCGUCUGAAUUCUUCCCUUCUAUGCCACUCGUGUUGUGAUUGGAUACUUUCUCGAGUUGCUUGCCUUAUAGCAGAAACCUCAUCAAUGAAUCCCUCGUGCUCAUCCUCCUCUUCUGUUAAUUGAGAUAAGAAUUCAUCUUUUCUCCUCUUUUUGUCUAUUUUCUUUGUGUUGCUUUCUUUUAGUACAUUCAUCAUACUUUCUCUAAUGACACCUGUUAAUAAAAUAAAAAUAAUUCACACUUUAUAUUAUUAUCAAUUAUAUAUAAUCUUUAUUGAUAAAUUUACAAUAACAUUUAAUAAUAAUAAUAAAGUAUCACAUACCAGUAACAUUAGGGCAUGGUGCAACAUUGCCAGUUUUAUGAGCAAUGUGCUCUUUAAAUCGUGUUAUUCCUCCUUUCACAACUUUACCACAAAGUUUACAGAUGAUACUUCCUCUCACAUUUGGCACUGGAGUUCCAAAGUGCCAACCUAUAUCAUUACUUGGUGCACCCUCCAAUCCUUUAGUCGGGAACUCUUCACGUGGUGGCAUGCUUUAUUUUUAUUUAUAUAAGAAACAUAAAAUUAUAUUUAGAAAUAUAAGCAACUCAUUACUUAUAUUAUCAACAAUAUAAUACCAAAAAAAGUAAACAAAAGUUAAAGCUAAAGUAAAGACCUAAUAUUAUAGAAAUAAAUAAAUAAAUAUUGUGUAAAACAAUUUAAUAAUAAUAAUAAUAAUAAUAAUAAUGGUAAUAAUAAUAAUAAUAAUAAUAAUAAUAAUAAUGGUAAUAAUAAUAAUAAUAAUAAUAAUAAUAAUAAUAAUAAUAAUGAUGAUGAUGAUGAUGAUGAUGAUGGUAUUAAUAAUAAUAAUAACAAUAAUAAAAAUCUUAAAAUUAAAAAUUAUAUGAAAGGAUAUACUAUAUAGAUAAAUAAAAUGAUAUAAUAAAAUAAAUGUAUUUAAAAUAUUUAGGUAAAUAAAUAUGAAAAGAAAUAUAAUUGAAAUAAUAAUGCAAAACUAAUUAAAUUUUAAUAAUAUGGUAAUAAUAACAAGUAAAUAAAUAAUAAAAUAAAAAAGGAAAAAUAAUAAUAGUAAUAGUAAUAUUAAAUUAAUUAAUUUAAUAAUAAAAUAGCAAAAAUAACAAAAACGGGACUAAAUCGAACUUAAAACAUAAAUUUGCGGCAAAUCUGAAAUAAAUAAAAAGAAAAAUGACCAAAUUGAAUGCACAAAUAACAAAAAUGGAUCAAAUGGGAAAUAAUCCCCAUCCUUCAAAACGCACAGCUUCAAGGUGGACCAAAUUGAAAUACGAAAUAAAUUAUAGGACAAAAUUAAAAAAGAAAUAAGCUUGAUUGUAAAUAAUAAAAAAUAGGAAGGGCUAAAAGCGUAAUUAACCCUUCCGUUAAAAACACGCAGAUCCUAGGAAACGGGUCGGGUAAGUGCGGGGUUAGGCCGAAACGGCGUCGUUUUGGUGCCAGAGUGGCCUGCCCAAAACGGCGUCGUUUUGAAGGCCUAUUUAAAUAAAAAAAAUUUCAGAAUCUUCAUUUCAGCCAUUCUUCAAAUAAUUUUUUUUCCUUUUUCUCUCAAUUCUCUUUUUUCUCAACCGUUGCCCAAAAUUCGGCCAUCGGCCACCGUGGCAGCCGCCGUUCACCGGCGACGGCGCUGCCGUGCACGGUGGUCAAAAAUUGCCGAAAACAUUUUAAACCCCCUUUUUUUUGUGUAGAAUAUAGAUUUAGGGAUAAAAAUCUCAAAAAAUCACUCUAUGUUGCAGAUUCAAGACAUGCAAGUACUUUACUUACUGGGUUAGUUUUCUACUUACUUGAUCUAUUGCUUUGCUUGCUGCCUGUGCCCUGUGGCUGUGUUUUUUGCCUUGCCGAAAUAUGGAGAAUGAAGAAAUAGAUUUUGCCUUUUCGUUUGCUUGUGAUUCUGUGAAAUGUGAGUUUGUGAGUCUGUGACUUACUGACUUGUAUUGUGAUUUGUGAGUGAGUUUUGAUUUUUUAAUUGACUUUCAGUCUUUUACUUUACUUUACUUUACUUUACUUUGUUAUUAUUGAAAGUUUGAAACUUGAUCGAUUUUGCAGGUUGGGAGGGAAUAUAUUCCCUUGCCUUUUGUUUUAUUAUCAAGUACAUUGAUUCAGUCUUUCUUCUCACUUUUCACUAUUCACUUCAAUAUUUCAUUCACCAGAAUCACCAUCCAUCUAUAGCACUUGAUUUUUUUUUUAAUUUACGGAAACGGAGAAUAACGAGAAUAGCGGCCCGUUAUUGCCGCAAUUGUCUGUUAUCCGUUAAAUUGCGGCCGCUAUCCACCGUUAUCGGUGUGAAUCCGCUUCCCUCCGUUAUUUUUAGCAAUAGCGGUUUCGAUCGGCGGCGCUACCGCUAUAUAACGGCCGCUAUUCUGAAAACGUUCUGUUAUUUGAAUCCCUGAUCAACUAUAUACUUUCCACAUUUUGGAAAAGACCUAGCCAUAAUAAUAACAUAUGAGCAACAUUUUCUCAAUCUCAAAAUGUAAAAAGCAAUACUGUACUAUCCUUUGAAGUUUGUUCUAAGAACAUUAGAAUGCUAAUCAUUAGAGUUUCAACUUAAGAUUAAACACAAAAAAUAUUGAAAAGUUUCAAGUACUAGGUGUAUUUUGAAAGAGUUGCUCCUAGGGCAUUUUCUCACCAUUCUUUUUCUUCCAUGGAUUCAAAUGCCUGUAAAAGAAAACCAAGGAAUAAAAAAUCAUAUCUACAACUCCAACAGAAGAGGGGAAUACCGGAAGAACAACCUCUACUUACCCUAUCAUAAACACUGGUAACAUCACUGUUGAAGCCUUUCAUAGCAGGGAAUCUUCAUAUAAAGAAUGAUUGAAAACCCACCGUGACACAUUUAGCUUUGAAGCUUCAGAUAGCUAGCCUAUCAAAAUGAUCAAAUAACAUAUCACAACUACCAUACAUGUGGUCUGAGCAUGAGAAAAUAAGGGAUGCUCUGAAAAAUUGGUGAUGAUCCAUCCAUCCAUAAUCACAACUGUUGACACCAUUUUUUGGAUGAAAAACGGGGUCGACUUGGGUUUUUUAAAAUGAAAACGAAACGGGAGUCGCCACCAACCCUUUUUGAUAAGGUGUGAUCGGAUCACCUUGAAAAACGGUUGUUUUUAAUAAACGAUUUAAUUUUAUUAAAACAACGGUUUUGGUCCACGAAAUUCAGAAAGACAGGCUCGGGAGUCGGUUACGCACGAGGAAGGAUUAGCACCCUCGAUACGCCCAAAAAUUGGUACCUAGUUGAUUAGUUAAUGUCUUAAUGUUGAAAAUUAAAAAUUUUAAAGAAAUAUAAAAUACGAUCCUUAAAAAAAAACUCGGAUGAUAUGGAUUGAAAAUCAAAAGGAUAUUUGGCUAUUCAGUUAAAUGAGAAAAAUCGACACCCAGCACCUUAGGGCACGUUUUCUCGAAUUUCCCAAACACAAAACAUUGCCUUAUUUUGAAUUUUUUCCUUAAAAGGAUAUUUAGCCAUUUGGUUGAAUGAGAAAAAUCGACACCCGCACCUUAGGGCACGUUUUCUCGAAUUUCCCAAACGCAAAACAUUGCCUUAUUUUAAAGUUUUUAAAAGGAUAUUUAGCCAUUUGGUUGAACGAAAAAAAUCGACACCCAGCACCUUAGGGCACGUUUUCUCGAAUUUUCCAAACGCAAAACAUUGCCUUAUUUUAAAGUUUUUAAAAGGAUAUUUAGCCAUUUGGUUGAACGAGAAAAAUCGACACCCAGCACCUUAGGGCACGUUUUCUCGAAUUUCCCAAACGCAAAACAUUGCCUUAUUUUAAAAUUUUUAAAAGGAUAUUUAGCCAUUUGGUUGAACGAGAAAAAUCGACACCGAGCACCUUAGGGCACGUUUUCUCGAAUUUCCCAAACGCAAAACAUUGCCUUAAUUUAAAAAUUUUAUUUUUGAUAAAUUCGAGUAAAAUAUAAGAUAAUGAUAAUAAUGAUAAUGUAAAUAACACAAGUAAAUAAGAAAAGAUAAAUAAAUAAGAUGGCAAAUAUAUAAUGAAAAGAAAUCAACAAAUAAAAGUAAAUAAAAAAUAAAAUUAAAACACUUAAAUAAAAUAAAAAUAAUAAUGAGCAUGUAAAUAAAUAAAUAAAUAAACACCAAAUGAAACAAUAAUAGUGAAUAACAUUAUAAUAUUUAUAUAUAUAGGUAUAUAUAAAAAUUAUGAAAAUAGAAGUAAUAAAAACAUAUAUAUGUAAAAAUAUGUAUUAUUUAUAAAAACUAGAAAUAUGUACAUGUAUUAUAAAUAUAUGCGUGUAUAAAUAAAUUAUAAAAAAGUAAGUGUAUAUGUAUACAUAUAUAUAUUUCAGAUAGUAUGUAUGUAAAUAUAUAGAAACAUAUAUGUAUAUAUAAAAAGAAAUACACGUAUAUAUAUAAGAACAAUUAUAAUAAUAAUAAUAAGUAAUAAUAUUACAAAAAUAACAAUAUGAUAUAAAAAUAUAAUAGUAAACAAAUAAAAAUAAAAAUAAAAUACAACAAUAAAACAGAUGGACUAAAUAGGGAUAAAAACAAAAGUACUGGGAAAAAUCGAAAUAAAAAACAAAAAAAUGACUAAAUUAAAAUGGAAACGAAAUCUCAGGGCCGAGAUAAAAAAUAAAACAGAGUAAGGGAUCAAAAUGUAAUGCGCGCGAAAAAUAGAGUGGCCAGUUAGGAAAUUAUCCCUAUUAAUCGAACGGCGCCGUUCUGCCAAGGCCCAGGCGCAUGGUUCCUGGACUAAAUUGAAACGGAUGCGAAAAUUUGUGGCCAAAAUUAUAAAAAAAAAAAGAAACCGCCUUGAACACACCACAAAAGUGGAGGUACUUAUUGCGAAAAUAUCCCAUUUGCAGAAAACGCGCGGAUCCUCCCCCUGGGCCGGGUCACCGCGCGGGUCAGAGACCAAAACGACGCCGUUUUCGGUCUCUGAACCCUAAGCUCAAACGGCGCCGUUUUAGGGGGGUUAUUUAAACCCAAAAUUUUUACAAAAAUUCAUUUUUUCUAGUUAAAAUAAAACAAACUCAAAAUCAUUCUCUUUUUUUCUCUGUUUCAAAAACGCUUCCCCUCCCCUUUUGAACCCGGCCACGGCGUCGGUGAGCUCGCACGAAGGCUUCACCGUAGCCUCGUCGCUGCUUCGCCUUGCCGGAGAAUAAAAAGAAAAGAGGGGCUACCCCCUUUUGCCCGUCUCUCCUCUGGCUUGGCCUAAACGAAACCCCGUAGGAUUUCUGUGGCUCCAUCGCAGAAGGGGUCAUCGACGGUGGCGCCGCAAGUGAAAGGUUCCUCCUUUCGACCCUUUUUUGAUUUUUUAGAGAAAUAAAUUCAAAUAAAACUUAAUAUAAAAGAAGACAGAGGAUUCAAGAGGCUUAAAUCACCUUGAAACUGUUUAUUGUUGUUUUUCUUUUUUUUGCUACUCUGUUUUUGCGUUACAUAAAUCGCUAGAAAAAAAAACAAAGUUACAUUUUGCUGGCUUUUAUAGCCGAUCUUCUAUUGCCUGCGUUCUUUGUUUGCUUGUUCUCUUCUUUGCAGGUGACGGCGCAAGUGGCGUGGUCGACGUGACUGUGGCGGUGGCGACGUGACGUUUGCGGCGACGAUGGCAGACCAAAGGUCAAUAGGUGCGGUGCUAGGGUUUCAGAAAAUCUAAAACCCUAGUCUGAAUUUGACACUUGAGCUUGGGUCUAUUGGCUGAAUUGGGUUACUGAUUUGGGCUUUGGUAGGUUUAGGGUUAAUUGGGCUUUAAUUUGGGUAGUGGGCUGGGUAAAAAUUUGGGCUGUACAGCUGCCCCUCUUUGCUCGUUGUCGUGUAAUGAUAGCAGAGCAAAGACUAAGAAAGACCAAUUUUUACCCGGUCUCAUCGAGGAAAUAGGAUUCGCCGUUGCGGCUUCAAUCUUUUAGUUGCAAUGUCGGGAAAGCAAGAUUCACUAUUGUAGCUCCAAUCUGUUCCACUGCACCGCUAGAGAAAGUAAGAUUCGCCAUUGUAGCUUCAAUCUUUUUAACUGCUGGGGAAGCAAGAUCCGCUGUUGUAGCUUUAAUCUGUUCCACUGCAACACUAGGAAAGUAAGAUCCGCUGUUGUAGCUUCAAUCUUUUUAAUUGCAAUGCCAGGGUAGUAAGAUCCGCUGUUGUAGCUUCAAUCUUUUGAAUUGCAAUGUCGGGGAAGUAAGACCCACUGUUGUAGCUUCAAUCUUUUGAAUUGCAAUGUCGGGGAAGUAAGAUUCGCCGUUGUAGCUUCAAUCUGCUCCACUGCAUAACUUGGGAAAGUAAGAUUCGCCGUUGUCGCUUCAAUCUUUUGAAUUGAAAUCUAUGGUUUCUUCGAUCUACUUUGCUGUCAACUUAGAAAAGCAAGACCUGGUAUCUUCAUUAAUCUGUUCUUUGGGGAACAUGAUCUAUAUGAACCUAUUUAUGCCUAAUGAUCAUGAUCAAAAUAUCCUGGCUAAAUGUGUAUGCACGAAUGUAAAAUGAUCUUUCAAUGUUUGAGUUGUUAAUGCUCCUUGCUCAAUAAGGCUUUAUUGCCAACACGUCCGAACACUAUCUUGUCCGGUUGGUAAUGCUCAUCUCUCACUUGGUCGGGUUGCCCCUAUUGUAAUCUUCAAGGUUCAAUCCACUGGAUGCAAAAUUUGAAUCACCUUUCUCCCUCUGUAACCUAAGGAUAGAAGGAUCUGGCCCUUUCUCGAUCCUCUAUUAUCAUACAGAAUGUGACACUCUUUGGUCUCCUACACCAUUCCCAGGGUGUCAUACUAACUGUUUAUGCACAAUCGCAAAAUUUUCUCUUCCGAGAAACCUCUUCUUAUCAUUUGGUGAUCAUUGAAGGUUUGUCACCAAUAUGACAUCUUGUCAUUUUGUUUAAUCCAUGUUUGGACAACAAAGUUUGAAAGGAUAGUCCUGACUUAGACUUUUCCCUUUUAGGUACUUUAAACUUGGUGUGUUCUAAACAACAGUCCGGUUUCAGGUUCCUUCAUUAUUUGGAAAUUUCUGGAUUAAUAUGCAAAACUCCUUUUGUUUGAACAUUCAGUCCAUCGAAAGAUUAUCGCAAUAGACAAACAAAAUGUUAUUGAGAACAAAUCUCGAAAUGAAUGAGUUAAUCAAAAUAACAAAUUUUGCUAAGAUAAGAUGAAAAGCAGACAAUAAACAAAAUGGAAUUUUAUUGGGGAACAAAGCUGGAAAUGAAUACAUUAAUCAAGACAACAAAUUUUGUCAAGAUUCAAAAUAUAAGGUGACAACAGAUGCCCCAGAUAUCGCAGCACGAGCUUCCCUGCAUAAGUUUUUCUAAAGAUCAUUUAAUAUGUGUUUAGGGAAUCUACAGUAUUUUGUCAAUACACCAAGAUGUCGCCUACCCUUUCUUGUGAUUCAGGUAUAGUAAGACCACCACAUGCGUCUUGAUCAAAAUUUUGAGUUGUUCCUUUCACCUCACGUUUCUUCAAAAUUUGAGCCGCCUUUUUCAGGUAUUCAACUCAAAUCCCUUUUGGUCUCAAGACGCCCAUUACGGGUUUUCACAUUGGCCUCUCCUUUUUUUUGAAGUGCCCCUUUUUCAAGUGAAAUAUUUCUUGACUGAAUCUGAGUUUACAAGAUUUGGCAGGCUUUUACCAUCCAUCUCGCUCAAGAUUAAAGCUCCUCCUGAAAAGGCCUUUUUUACCACAUAAGGACCUUCCCAAUUUGGCAUCCAUUUUCCUCUAAAAUCCUUUUGUAGAGGAAGAAUCUUUUUCAACACCAAGUCCCCCUCGUAAAAUUCUCUGGGACAAAUUUUUUUGUUAUAGGCUCGCAUCAUUCGUUUCUGAUACAUCUGACCGUGACGAAUAGCUUUUAACCUCUUUUCUUAUACCAAGUUUAGCUGGUCAUAUCGAGACUGAAUCCAUUCAGCCUCAUCUAACUUUAGUUCAGCUAAUAUUCGGAGGGAAGGGAUUUCAACUUCUAUGGGUAAAACUGCCUCCAUCCCAUAAACUAAAGAAAACGGCGUUGCCCCCGUAGAGGCCCUAACAGAGGUACGAUAUGCCAGAAGAGCGAAAGGUAAUUUCUCGUGCCAAUCUUUGUAGGUUUCAGUCAUUUUCCCCACAAUUUUUUUGAUAUUUUUAUUAGCUGCUUCCACAGCACCAUUCAUUUUUGGACGGUACGGUGACGAAUUGUGGUGUCUGAUCUUAAACUUACUACAAACUUUCGCUAUUAAGUUGUUGUUCAAGUUCAGCGCAUUAUCGGAUAUGAUCCUUUCAGGCAUCCCGUAUCGACAUAUGAUCUCUUUUUUCAGAAACUUGCUAACUGCUGACUUCGUGACAUUUGCAUACGAAACAGCCUCCACCCAUUUAGUGAAGUAAUCAAUAAUCACAAAGAUAAAACGAUGCCCAUUAGAAGCCUUUAGAGAUAUUGGCCCGAUAACAUCCAUUCCCCACAUGGAGAAAGGCCAUGGAGAAACCAUAACAUGAAGGGGUGACGGUGGUGCGUGCAUUUUGUCACCAUAAAUUUGGCACUUAUGGCACUUUUUGGGAUAAUUAAUGCAAUCCCCUUCCAUGGCAGACCAAUAAUACUCAGAUCUCAUAAUUUGUCUGGCCAUCGUAAAGCCGUUGGCAUGUGUUCCACAAAUACCUUCAUGUACUUCUUCCAAAAUUUUCUUGGCCUCAACAGCAUCCACAUACCUCAACAAUACUUGAUCUUUUCCCUUUUUAUACAAAAUUUCCCCAUCUAGGACAUAGUCAAUGGCUAAUCUCCUUAAUGUCUUCUUAUCAUUAUCCGUCGCACGGUCAGGGUACUCACGACUCUUCACAUAUCGCAAUAUGUCAUGAUACCAAGGGUGAUCAUCCUAUUCCCCUUCAUUGCCAAUGUUGCAACAAUGGGCUGGAGCCUAAUAAAUGUUGAUCUGGAUAGGCUUCAUAUCCUCUAGUUUGUUCACCUUAAACAUAGAAGCUAGGGUAGCCAAAGCAUCUGCCAUCUGAUUCCCAUAUCGUGGGAAAUAGCUAAAGGUGACAUUAUCAAAUUCCUCAAUCAAUUCCAUAACCAAUUUUCGAUAGCGGACUAACUUCGGGUCUCUUGUUUCCCAUUCCCCUUUGAGUUGGUAAAUUACUAAUGUAGAGUCCCCAUAUACCUCUAGCACCUUAAUUUUCCGCUCUAUGGCUGCUCGGAUGCCCAUAAUACAAGCUUCAUACUCAGCCAUGUUAUUUGUGCAAUCAAAAUCCAAUUUGCUAGUGAAAGGGUAAUGAUCUCCACUAGGGGACACGAGUACUGCCCCGAUUCUAUUGCCUAUAGCAUUUGAAGCUCUGUCAAAAUUUAGCUUCCAAGGACCACCUUCUUGGAAAUCUCUUUCUGUAGUUACAACAUACAUCAAAUCUUCAUUUGGGAAAUCAAAGUUCAAUGGUUCAUAAUCCUCCAGCGCUCUACUAGCCAGGAAGUCCGCUAUCGCACUCCUUUUGACCGCCUUCUGGUUCACAUAGACUAUGUCAAAUUCAGAUAGGAGAAUUUGCCAUCGGGCCAUUCUUCCAUUCAAAGCGGUUGAUUCCAUCAAGUAUUUCAGAGGGUCCAAUUUAGAAAUUAGCCAGGUUGUAUGGUACAACAUGUACUGUCUUAGUCUCCGAGUUGUCCAGAUCAGGGCACAACAUAACUUCUCGAUUGGCGAAUAUCUUGUUUUGCAUUCGGUGAACUUCUUGCUGAGAUAGUAGAUUGCUCUUUCUUUUCGUCCUGACUCAUCAUGUUGACCAAGCACGCAUCCCAUGGAAUUUUCAAAUACUGCUAAAUACAGUAUAAACGGUUUGUCUGGGCAAGGUGGCAUCAGCACUGGGGCGUUGGAUAAGUAAUGUUUGACUUUUUCAAAAGUUUUUUGACAUUCUUCAUCCCAUACACCUGGAUUAUGUUUCUUAAGGAGACGAAAUAUGGGGUCGCAUUUCUCGGUUAGCUGUGAGAUGAACCGAGCGAUAGAGUUCAGCCUUCCUAGAAAACCUCUAACCUCUUUUUGAGUAUACGGUGGACGUAAUUCUUGUAUUGCUCUUACUUUGUCAGGAUCAAUUUCAAUUCCUCUUUCACUGACCACGAACCCCAACAAUUUUCCUGAUCUGACCCCAAAUGUGCAUUUCGCUGGAUUUAGCUUUAGUUGAAAUUUUCUCAACCUCACAAAUAAUUUCUUAAGGACCUGCACAUGUUCCUCUUCUAUUAUAGAUUUUGCAAUCAUGUCAUCAACAUAGACUUCUAACUCCUUAUGCAUCAUAUCAUGGAACAGUGUUACCGUGGCCCUCUGGUACGUUGCCCCUGCAUUUUUCAACCCAAAUGGCAUUACCUUUUAACGAAAGGUUCUCCAUAAGGUUAUAAAUGUAGUUUUCUUCAGAUCCUCAGGAUGCAUCUUAAUUUGGUUGUAUCCAGAGAAACCGUCCAUGAAAGAAAACAGCGAAUGCCCUGCUGUGUUGUCCACCAAAGCGUCGAUAUGUGGCAAGGGAAAGUUAUCUUUUGGGCUAGCCUUAUUUAAAUCUCUAUAAUCUACACACAUUCGUACCUUUCCAUCUUUUUUAGGGACAGGAACAAUAUUGGCUACCCACUCAGAGUAUUUGACCACUUGCAGGAAUCCAGCGUCGAAUUGCUUUUGCACAUCCUCUUUUAUUUUUAAUAUAACAUCAGGCCUCAUUCUUCGGAGUUUUUGCUGAACUGGUUUGCAAUCUUCCUUUAUAGGAAGUCGGUGAACUACGAUGUCAGUACUUAACCCCGGCAUAUCUUGGUAUAACCAUGCGAAGACAUCUUUGAACUCUUGAAGCAAUUCAAUGAGGUCUUGUUUUACUUCUUCAGCUAUGCACGUGCCAAUCUUCACCAUUUUUCCCUCUUCCAAGGUCACUGUCUCUACCGUCUCUUCGUGAGGUAGGAUUUGUUUCUCUUCCUGCUCCACCAUCCUCAAUAAGUCCGGAGAUAGGUUGCACUCUAUGUUAUCUUCAAAAUCUUGAGAUUCCUCUAAACACAUAUCUCGUUCGAAAGGAUUUUCUAAGUCCAUAGUAAAGUCACUCAUGUCAUUGAUAUCUUGGGACCUGUUAUAUGUACCGAAGAAUGUACAGGGAAUGUAUGAAUUUAAGGAUUCUUAUUUAAUAUGGUCAUGAAUGAAAUGAAAGAAUGAUUUGGAAUAAAAACAUCCAAGAUAACUAUCCAUACGAAAGAAUGAAAAGAAUUUUAAAAGAAUAUAUACUCAAAAUGCGAAAAUAUAUUUCAUUGAAAUCACAAUGUUCAAAUAUAAGCCCAUUUCAUUUCACAAAAAGUUUCAUUUUCUCUAGGCUUAGAACAAUUAGCAUGUUUUGAAUAUUACUCUGAAAAAGCUCUAAAAACUUCAGGCAUUUCUUCUAUAGUCCAAUUGUUUAAAACACUCCCAGGUUCAACGGGAUAAAUGCCUGAUGUAUUUUCUUCUUCAGAUUUUUCUUCAAAUAUGGCAUUGAUGUUCAAGUUUCCUAACAUUUCCUCUGUGGUCUUCUUUCUUGGAGUUCUCAGCCCAAAAUACAUGGUUCCUCUUGAUACGAAGGUCCUGGAUAUGUGGGGGAAAGCCAACGGUUCCCAAUCAAUUUCUUUUCCGUUCAAACUCGCAUUCCUCCUCUCUUGUCUUUUCUCCAGCUCUUUCCUUCUUUGCUUAACAUUUGGCUUAAAUCCUAAACCAAAGCGGUCUCGUUUGUCCUUCACCACUGGUGCCUCUAUCCUUCCUUGAAGGCAUCUUCCCAGUCCUCUUCCAGGCACAGCUCCUUUUCCAAUUGUCAUUUGUAGUCCCAUUCUCGUGGCUCUAGAUAUGCUGGGCAUUGGGAUCCUCUUUCUCUCAAUAAUGAAGGUCGCAUUUACGAACUCUAAGGAUCGAAAGGAACAUUCGACCGCCUCAUCAUCUGUUUCCAAAUAUGGUGCGUCACUGGUUACUAAUGCAAUGAUAUCUUCCUCAGCGUUAAUCGUAAUUAAACGGCCUUCUGUUACCAAUUUCAACUUCUGGUGCAAUGAUGAAGGCACCACUCCUGCUGAAUGAAUCCAGGGUCUUCCCAACAAGUAGUUAUACGAAGGCUUGAUAUCCAUCACUGAGAAAUCCACCUCGUAUGUAUUUGGGCCAAUCAAUAGGGGUACUUCUAUUCUUCCCAUCACCUUCCUUUCGGUACCAUCAAAUGCUCUCACUAUGUUCUGACAUGAUUUCAUGUGAGAGCUAUCCAUCGGUAACCUUUUUAAGGUGGACAGGGGUAAAACAUUUAAUGUUGAUCCAUUAUCAAUUAGCACUCCCGCUAACGUACACUCCCCGCAGCGAGCAGUGAUAUGUAAUGCUUUGGUGGCUCCUCUUCCCCCGGCGGUAUUUCAUCAUCAUUAAAGAAAAUGAAAUUGUCGGUACUGAUAUUAUUAACCAAGCGGUCCAACUUAUUCAAUGAGAUAUUGUUAGCGACAUAAGUUUCAUUUAGAACCUUAAUCAACACAUUAUGAUGUAUUUCUGAACUUAUAAGCAACUCAAGCACCGAGAUACGAGCCGGUUGUUUAUGUAAUUGUUCUACCACGCUAUACUCGCUAUGUUUCAAGAAUUUUAGAAAUUCUCUAGCCUCAUUUUCAGUUACCGGCUGAUUGACACGCGGUUCAAUUUUGUCUGUUUUUAUUUUUCCCAACUCAACUGCUAAGGCUUUUCCUUUUCCCAAAUUCAUUCUUGCAUUUUUCAGAUCAUAGCGUUUUCCACUUCGUGUAUAGAAUCCUUCAUCCUCUCCUGAAGCGUUUACCAAGCUCUCUUUCCCUGGAAUUGUCACAUUGCAGUCGUAAUUCCAAGGAACCAUUUUGCUAUCCUCGUAAGGAAAGGAUACAGGUUAUUGGAUUAUGACCUUUGGUGCUAUUUGUAUUCCAGAUUCUUUGUUCAUUGGCUUUGAAAUGAUAACCACUGGGUGAUUAACCUCUUGGGCUUUCCCCGCAGAUCCUUCCUCUAAAGCAUAAACUUCUCCCUGUUCUAGUCCCUUGACCUCUUCAUAAAACUCCAUUUCUUUGUUAUCCAUUAAGCUCUGUACCAUGGUUCUGAACUCAGUGCAUUUUUGGAUGUCGUGGCCUUCUUUUGCGUGGAACUCACAAAACUUCCUAGCCCCUUCAGGCCUUUCUAUUGAAUUUUGCUUGAUGAGCCCUCUUUUCACCAUUUGUUUCCAAACCCAUUCAAGGGGGUCCUUAUCUUUGCUACGUUUGCUUUGACCCUCCUUCCUCCAUUCUCAGUUAUCACGUUCACCCCUUUAUCAUCAUGAUUGGGCAAUGGAUUCCCUGCUAUGUUUGGCCCUGAUGAGUCGCCAAUCUUUACGAUCCCCAAAUUGAUAAGUUUUUCAACUAACUUCUUGAAUGCAGUGCAGUUCUCAAUCAAAUGCCCCUUAGUCCCUGCGUGAUACUCGCAUUGGGCGUUUGCGUCAUACCACUUAGGGUAUGGAGGUUGCAUAGGUUUUAGGUAAAAAAUGGAGACCACAUGGGCAUCAAAUAGAUUUUGGUACAGCUCCUUGUAAGUUAUCGGUAUAGGUGUAAACUGGGGUCUUUCUGACUUCGAAUUAGACUCCUACCUCGGAGGGCCCUGAUGAUUGGUAGCUACUAUCUUUGGUGAGCCAACAGUGACAGACUUUGAAUAUCAUUUGCUGUAUGUAUUCACAUUAUUUAUCUCACCUUCCUUCUUCCUUGAGGUCGGUCUUCUAGAAUUUUCCCCCGCAUCUAUUUUACCACUUUUUACCGUAUUUUCGAUCAUUUCACCAGUCAUCACUAUGUCUGAGAAACUUUUAGUGGCACUUCCUAACAUAUGAUUGAUGAAUGGGGCCUUCAAAGUAUUGAUAAAGAGCAUUGUGGUUUCUUUUUCCAGUAGAGGCGGCUGGACUUGAGUUGCCACCUCCCUCCACCUCUGAGCGUACUGCCUGAAGCUUUCAUUUUGUUUCUUUUCCAUGUUUUGUAGGGUGAUCCUAUCGGGUGUUAUGUCCGAUAUGUGACUGUACUGUCUCAUGAAGGCCUGUGCCAAAUCUUUCCAAGAACUAAUUUGGGUACGACUCAGCUGAUUGUACCAUUUGGCAGCAGCUCCUAUCAGACUGUCCUGGAAACAGUGAAUUAACAAUUGAUCAUUGUCAAUAUAUCCCGUCAUCCUCCGAUAGAACAUGGUGAUGUGGGCUUCGGGACAGCUAGUUCCAUUGUACUUCUCGAAUUCGAGCAUUUUAAACUUAUGCGGAAGAACUAAGUCAGGGACCAAACUCAAGUCUUUAGCAUCGAUUUUGCAACGGUAAUCGGCAUUUUCCAUUGCUCUAAACUUUUCUUCUAACCACCUACACCUAUCUUCAAGUUGUUUCGGCAAAUCUACUCUUGCCUUUUCUGCUUCCGUUACAUCAUUCAAAUCAAGAACAACAGGGUUAGCCGGAUUAUCUCCCGGGUUAGAACCUGAACCUAUCUAAAAAUUUAUUGGUGCCAUGGUGUCAACCUGGCAUUGAGGCCUAAUGUGAACAUGCACUCCUUGUUGACACAUAUCCGGUUGUGCCUGAGUGCUCGUUGGGGCAAAACUUGGAGGAUAAACAGGGUCCUCCUGAUCGACUCCCGAAUUGGUAGCAGGGCCUUUUCCUUUGUCAGCCAAUAAUUGUGUCAAUUGGCUCAUCAUGGCUCUUUGAGAUUCCAGCACAUCUAAUUGUUCUUGCAUUUUAUCUUGUAUUUCUUUCUGCGUUUGUUCCAAUCGUUCUAUCUGUUGAUCCAUUGCUUUUGUUUUCUUUCUUGUACCGUAAGGGUGUUCCAGGAUAAUUGAAAUAAUUUUAUUUAAUUAGGGUCCUUUAAUGGUUGUUAAUGCAUAUGAUGUGAUGCAAUGCAUGAAAUGAAUGCAAAAAGAAAAGGCAUUGACUCUGAUUCAAUUCCAUUUAGAAAACUUUACUAGAAAAAUAAAAUUCUUUACAUAAGAUAGAUUACAUAUACGGUUUUGCCCUAAUGCUCAAAAUUCUAAUCUUCUUAAGUAAUGAAGCUAGCUCUUUUCCUCGGCUUGAUUCCAGCUCAUAUUUUACACUUAGCAUAUCAGCUUGCACUGCCAGCGUUUGCAAGUGAUCCGCAACCUCUCGAAUUUGAGUCACAGCUUCUCCCAUAAUGUGAUCCCUAUCUCUAACUUGGUUUUGAAAGUAGUGCAACUGCUCAUUUUGACGGUCUUCAUUAGCUUCCAAAUACUCGAUCCGGAUCUCGCAAUUUCGCAAUGCUGCUUCUAACUCUUCAGUUCUUUCUUUCAUUUCUUCAAUUCUAUUUAGGCUUGCCCUCAAUUCCAUCACAGAGUUCCGAUUUUAGUGCCGAUGAAGAGAUCCUUCUAAUUCAGUCAUUCUGUUCUCUAGCUCCCCUUUUUCCUUUUGAUUUUCUGACAAAUUCCUCUUUAGAGUCUCGUUAUGUGCUUAAAUUUCUUGGAAUCUCCUUUCCCAUUCAUCAGCUUUAUUCUUUUCUUCUUGAAUCUCCUUGCGCCACUGCUCAGAAGUCUUUCCCAACCCGGCAGUCCUCAUUGAUAAUCGCAACUUCUUAUAAUCUGUUUUCAAACUAUCAAGAUCUUCUUCAGCCCUAGCUUUCCCUUUUCUUAAUCGCUCCGUCUCGAGCUUCUGAACAUCUGUAUCCAAUUUUAAGUUCAUUUUUUCCUCCUCUAUUUGCUCUAUCUUCUUUUCUAACUCUGCAUUUCUUUCUUGAAAGUCUUGUUUUAAUAUUUCUAGUUCAGAAGGGACGACCCGUAAAUGCUCCUCUAUUGAUUGACUGCCUUCGCGACUCGGCUCAAGAAUAUUGUCGUUAAUCCUCUUACUCCGCUACCCAUGAUAUCUAGGAGUUAUCAUUGCCCCAACGGUGAAUCUUUUCAUCCGGUGAGUUUGCUUCCAAGCGUUGGACAUUUCUCGAAUCUUUCCUUUGUAGUUAUUACUCCCAUAAGCAAACUCACACUCGGUCAGUCCUUGCAUUGCCGGUAUGAACUGACUUGAUCUAUAUUGUCUUAAUAUGAGCAGAGGGGUAUAUCCGACAACUCCCCAAAUUCUGAGUAAAGGAACCCAAUCGAAGUCUCCACAUCGAUACAAAAUCUUGCCAGGCACUAUCCAAGGAGCUUUCCAUUCAACAUCCUCAUCUCGGAGAUUUUGAAGGAUUGCCAUCCACCUUUCUCCAGUAAUAUUGUCACGUAUUGAUGUUGCUGCUGAUUCUUUCAAAGGAGAGUACUUUUCAGAGAACACUUUGUAAGAAACCUUAUCCACCUUCCAGAAGUGACUAUGGAACCAAACUAAUAGAAGCUGUGCACAACCAAUAAAUCUUCCUUCACCUGCUCUCUGGCAUGCACUCAAAGAUCUGAAUGUUUCAGCCAAAAUUGCUGGGACUGGUGUAAUCCCCCUAUCAAGUUGAUUGAACAAAUCUGUAACCGUUUCAUCAAUAUGUCUUAAUGCUUUGGGGAAAAUAACCAACCCAUAGAUACUCAAGGCGAGGACAUCAACUUUCUUCUUUGUAUCAGGGUGUGCCGAAAUCUAAUCUCGCAAACUUCUCCAAGGGAUACAUUUAUUUUCCCCUUUUUGUUUGAUAUGUGCCGUAACCCAUUGCUCGCUCAUUCCGGUAAUUUUUGCUAACUUCCUUGUAAAAGUGAGAACAUUGGCAGUUCUAGAAUAAACUUUAUCUACUUGGAUUCUUGGACAACGAAGUAAAGUUCUAUACUCCUCCACAGUAGGCACUAUGUCUACCUCCCCAAAGGUGAAGCAGCUAUAAGCAGAAUUCCAAAAUUGGGCCAGAGCUCGAAAUAAAUGCUCAUCCACCUUGAUAUCGAGCAAGUAGGGCAGAUCACCAUAAUUACAGCAAAACAACUGUUUGACCUCGUCAUCCCAUUGAGCCCAAAUUUUUUUCAACUCUUGGAGAUCAUUCUAAGUUACGUUGAUACAAGUGAAGUCCCAUAAUUCUGAUGUGUAUCCCUCCGUCAAACUAUCACCUUUCUCAAGUUGUGUUUUUUCUGACCAUGUUUGGACAACCGAAUUAUUAUCCGCCUUAUCAGGAAAUUCGUUUUCCAUGAUGAGCUUUCUGUCUAGAAAUCGAAUGUGAAUCAACGCCUUUUGUAAUGAAAUGCCAUGCAGUUGAGAUGUCAUGCAUCCAAAGUAAAAUAGCAAAGAUUAGUAUCAGAUAUAAACAUAUAAUCCAAAACAAUUCAGAAAGAUUAAAAAUACAUAUCAGGGUAUCACUAAGGUUUGGUGUAGUUCUACCUAGGGUGAGUUCCUAAGGUUCACUACAUGCGGUUUGGCUCUAAAGUAAGGGUACCCAAACCAGCAGAUUCCUCGAUCUUCACCCAUUAUAGGCUCAUAUAGACCGAGUUUGGUUCAGGGGAAUACAUUUAGCUAUGGCUGCACGGAGAUGAAAAUCUCACGAAGACAUAGGUACGGAUGUAUCCCGAAAGUGAUCCACUAUCCUGGACGGAGGUGAAAACCUCACGAAGGACUAGCUUCUCACUCCUACUUAAAAAGGUGUGACCAACGGUCAUGCAAUGCAAUGCCAAAAGAUAUAAAAAUUUAAAAUACAAAACAUGAUGAAAACUCAAAACAAAUGAGAUGCAAUGAGAGGAUCGUAUAUUUAAAUCACAUUUUCAACUUUCGACAAAAAGACAAGAAAUAAUCAAAUCGUGGCUUGACUCUCUUAUUUAUGUCCCCAGCGGAGUCGCCAAGCUGUUGACACCAUUUUUUGGAUGAAAAACGGGGUCGACUUGCGUUUUCGUUUUCAUUUUUCAAAACCCAAGUCGACCCCAUUUUCAAUCAAAAAAAUGGUGUCAACAACAACGAUUGCGCUCAAGCGAUGCAUCAACAAGAGAAGUGCACACAUAAACGUACAAAAUACCGAGGAAAGCCAACCAAACAUCCUUCAAUAGUACAAUGAAAUGUCAAACGUUUUUAACUAAAUCCCAUUCCCAUAUACAUAGGCAUAACAAUUGCAGUUGAGCGAUUGCUCCAAACCCAUGCCAUAUAGUACAAAGCAAAGGAUCCUUAAAGACGAGGACGAUAUAAGAGUUAAGCAAACAUAUAUGCAAAAAAAGCGUAGAAAUCAGAAGCUGCCGAUGAUAACAGAACAUUAAAAUUGCUUAAUAAAUGUUCCCGAUGAAAAAUAUAUGAAUAUACGCAUAAAUUUAGUAUUGCUAUUAAAUAUCAUGAGCACUGCACAAAUUUAGCCCAAUUUAAAGGAAAAAAAAUUCUCUAAAUUUCCAUUUUAUUUGACAUAUCUAGAUUUGUAAUUUGAAACUUUGUUCUUAUUCACAUGAAUUAAAAUUUGAUCUAAUCUGAUUUUAUCAUUAAAAAUGAGCCAACAGCCUAAAUCUUAAUUAAGACGAAUAAAAGCCUAAUCAUGUGGUUUUGUGAGAAAUUGACACUAGGGUAAUCUAAAAUUAAACGCUUGAUGAUCUCUCGACUCUCUUAGCUUCUUGCUAGGGAAUUAGAUUACUCUCACACACUAACACACACAUUUCCCCUAAGGUAGCUACGCUAAUUUUCUUGAAUUCCCUUCUUAAUCGCAGCUCUUAUUUCUAGUGAUUUUAUCCCUACAGAUUGAUCAACCAAUCAUGCUAAAUCGCUAAAUAAAAUACCAUACUGGCUGUGUGAAAUGCUGCCAUCGGAGGCAUCCUUCGCGAUCAUAAUAGAACUUCCUUGCUGAUUUUUUUUAAGGCCAUUAGAAAAGAAAAUAUAACAAGAGAGCACAAAUUGGUUCGGGGAUAUUAUUCCUUAGAACAACAGGCAGAACCAAGAAUGAAAAUUACAUCAUAAAAUAAAAUACCUCACCACAAUAACCAUUCACAAACUUUGAGCAAGGUUCUAAACGGUCAUCGACGGUAGACUUUGCAACACUAGUACCAUUUGGCUUUCAACCCCCCAUCAAAUUUUGUGGUUCUCAAAGCUGAGUGAAUGUAGAAUGCUAAAUAAAUAACAGAUUUGGCUCCUCCACUUCUUUUUAUGAAGGUUCCCUUGAAAUGCCCUAUAAGAGUAUGAUAAUGCUAAUCAUUAGAGUUUCGGUUUAUAAAUUAAACAAAAAAUGAAAAGUUUCAAGUAGCAUUAGUAUUUAGAAAGGGUUAAUUCAAGGCCAUUUUCUCACCAAUUUUUCUACCUUGAUUCCACACAAUCCACAUGAUCAAAAAUGUAAAUUCUCAUCAAGUGAAUUGAUACAUCUCAAAAGUAGCCUUCUAAUGAUUUCGUUGUGUUAAUGCCUAAAUUGAGCUCUCUAAUGCCAUGCCGUACUGUGUAGUGUAUCCUUCCUGUAAGGAUCAAUACCAUGUUCAUAGUGGUUAUGAAAUCUGUUGACACUGAUAUCCUUACUCAAUAACCACGAAGAUCUGUAAACUAUUACGUAAAGACUUAUUCUUCUAGAAAACCUUUGGGUAAUAUUUGACAUAGAUAUGUAAAACAGUUUAUAAAAUUUUGCAUGUAUUUAAAAGAUCAUAUCUUUUAUACACGUCAAGGUGAAACUAAGAGACAUGAUUUAAAUAGUUCACUCGCACUCACUUUUAAAGGUGGAUUCUUGAGGUUUUAGCCAAAAUUAAAAAAGCUUGAGUUCAAUUUAACAACUAGGACUCGAAGCUUGACUCAAGUUAGAUCGAGUUUCAGUUUUAAUGUAGAGCUCGAUUUUGAUAUAAAAAUUUACUUAAGUUCGUUAUAUUAGAUUCGUUUACCAAAUAAAAUGAAAAAAAAAGGGUCAAAUUCUAUUAUUAAUUCUUACACUAUGUAUAAGUCGUGGAUUUAGUUUAUGUAUUUUAAUUUGGUUAUUUUUAGUCACUAUACUUUUCAAAAUUUAAAAUUUCAAUCUUCAUCAAACAGUAACCGUUAAAUUUAUUAAGUUAAAUUAUACUAUUUUCAUAAAUAUGAUAUAAAAAAAUAUAUUAUCAUAUUAGCUUGUAAUUUUCAUAUAAUACUCAUAAAAAAGUCACAUUAUUUUAGUUAAUGAAUUUAACUGCUAUCAUUUGAGUCAAGAUUGAAAUAUCAAAUUCAAAAAGCAUAAAGACUAAAAACGAUCAAAUUGACGACCAAAUUAAAGUACAUGAACUAAACUUACAACUUAUGAGCAAUAUAAGGACUAAUAGUGAAAUUUGAACAAAAGAAAACAUGAAAUGAAACAUGCAUACAUACAUACCCUAAGUGCAAGGAAGUGUCUGAGAGAUGGUUGUCAUCAUCUGAUGCACUAUUAUUAUCAUCAGCCUUUGAAUUAUUUGGUGAAUGAUCAAGUCUUCUUUCCAGCAAUGGAUUCAAUUCUAGUAUAUUCGAGCUCCUUUUUUGUCUCAAUUCCUCAACCUUAAAACCACAUUCAAUAAUCAACAAAAUGCAAUAUUACAAACUCCAAAAUCUUAAUAUUAUAUAUAAGCUAAACUACACUGUUAAUCACUCAAUUAUCGGUAAGUUUAUUUUUUGAUUACGCAAUUAUAAAAAGUAACAAAAUUGUCAUGAUUUUGUCCUUUUUGUCAUCCGUUAUUAAAUGGUUAAUGGAAAGAUUACGUGGCAGGUUUUAAAAUUGGCAUUAUAGCGAUUUUAACCCUCAACAUUUAUACAUUGUGUCAAUUUAGUCUUGACUCUAAAAAGUUCAUCUUUCAACAUUUACAUGUAGUGUAAUUUAGUCUUUUUUACAAUUUUACUUUUUUUGUGUGUGUGUGUGACCUUUUAACAACUUAAAAAGCUAAAAAAAUAAAAUUAUCCAGCUAAAUUUUAUCGAAAAUAUAUUAAAUUAACACAUAAUGUCACAAAGAAAAGCAAAAGUACUGCAAAAAAAAAAAGAGACUAAAUUAUAGAAUGUGUAAAUGUUGAGGGUUAAUUUUUUUAGAAUGAAGAAUAAAUUGACACAGUAUAAAUAUCGAGAGUUAAAAUUGCUAUUAUACUAAUUUUAAAAACCAUCAAAUUACCAUUCUGUUAGUGAUUUAACUAUUGGUGACAAAAAAGAUUGAAUAGUUGGAUGAUUAACAAUAUAGUUUACUCUUAUAUAUAUAUAUAUAUAUAUGUAAAUACAUGUGUGUAUGUGUGUAGCAGUUGAUUAUACGUAUGACCUACGUACCUGUUUGCGUAGAUCUUCAUUCUCCAUUACGGUCUUCUGUUCCUGAAAAUAUACAAAUAUUAAACCAGAAAUCAUUAGUAUUAAAUGUUAAUUACAAUUAUUUGAUUGCUAAACAUAUAUGAUUCCUUAUUCUCUUUCAAAAGUAAAUAUUUAUACUCUAAUGUGUAUCUAUAAUUUUGUCUUUUAAGUCGAGGUUUUUAGAUAUUCAGAUGUAUAUAGUGGGUAAUUAAGCAUUGGAUUGACAUACGAUAACCUUUUAUGUCAAAUGUUCAAAUCUGGACUUGAACUAAGAAUAAGUGUCAAAUAUCGAUAUAUGUUAAUAUAGAUGUGAUGAAUUUUUUAAAAUCGAGAAACAUUCCUCUUAUAUAAAUAUUCAAAUUUGUGUCAAACACGUAUAUAAAACAUAAUUACUUUAGAAAAAAUUGGAUUAAUAUGGGGAUAUAAAAUGUACCUGUAAUCGAGAUCUUUUAAGCUGCUCCAUUAGAAUUUGCUCCUACAACAAUAAAACUUCAGUUUCUAGAGCUCACAAUUAGGCUCCUAAUGAAAUUAUUUUAAGUUUGUGUUUGUAGGAGAGUUACUAAAUAUACUAAAAUUAUGUUUGUUUGGAGUUAAUAUUGAUUAAAAUUAGAGAUAAAUUAUGGACGAAAAUAUUAAUUUAUUUUAAAUGAUGAAGCAUAGCAACUUUAAUAAUAUAAAUUAUUGUGAACGCUUAGUUGAAAUGACAAAAUUAAGGUUUUGAAGCUACGGGUAUCCUAAUGAUUUAUUUUGAAUUUAAACUAUUUUUUUAUAGAUUUUAUAUAAAUACAUAAAUGAAAAAUAAAAAAGCAAACUCAUAAUAUUAUUUGUCAUCUUUUAAAUAAAAACCCUUUUUUAAAGUUAUUUUUCAACUAAAUUGAUCUUUAGUUAAACUUGUGGCUUCAACUUAGUUAGAUAACUAUAUAUAUAGUAUAAUUAACAAACAAUAAAAUUGAAAUUCACAUACAUGUAUGCUGUGUGUAGCCUUAAAUACUCCUGUUUCAUGGUGUUCACUUCAAUUCCUUGCAACUUCUGUUUUUUUAACAAAAAAAAAUGCACACACAAUAUUAGAAAUAUAAUUAUUAUUUUCAAUCGAGUCUUAAUUCUGUUGACACCAUUUUUUGGAUGGAAAACGGGGUCGACUUGGGUUUUGAAAAUGAAAACAAAAACGGGAGUCGCCACCAAUCCUUUUUGAUGAGGUGUGAUUGGGUCACCUCGAAGGGUAGUUGUUUUUAAUAAAAGGUUUGAUUUUAUUAAAACAACAAGUUUGGUCUACAAAAUCCAGAAAAAACAGGUUCGGGAGUCGGUUACGCACGAGGAAGGAUUAGCACCCUCGAUACGCCCAAAAUUGGUACCCAGAUGAUUACUUAAUGUCUUAGUGUCGAAGAUUGAAAACUUUAAAGAAAUUUAAAAUACGAUCCUUAAAAAAAACUCGUACGGCAUGGAUUUAAAUUCAAUAAGAUAUUUGGCAAUUUGGUUAAACGAGAAAUCGAAACCCAGCACCUUAGGGCACGUUCCUCGAAUUUCCAAACGCAAAACAUUGCCUUAUUUUGAAAUUUUUAAGAAGGAUAUUAAGCCAUUUAGUUGAACGAGAAAAAUCGACACCCAGCACCUUAGGGCAUGUUUUCUCGAAUUUCUAAACGGCAAAACAUUGCCUUAUUUUGAAAUUUUUGAAAGGAUAUUUAGCUAUUUGGUUGAACGAGAAAAAUCGAAACCCAGCACAUUAGGGCACGUUUUCUCGAAUUUCCAAAAGCUAAACAUUGCCUUAUUUAGAAAAAUUUUCCUUUUUUGAAGUAUGGUGUUAAUAUACAUAAUGGAAUAAUAAAUAUGACAAUUUGAACAAAAAUAAUAUAAGCAAAAAUGAAUAAUAAAAAAAAAACAAAUCAAUCAUGUAUAUACCAUAACGAAUAAAUAAAUAAAUAAACAAACUAAAACAUAAAAAAUGGACAUAUAAAUAAGGACAUAAAUGAAAGAAAAAAUAAAGGAAAAUAUAUGAAAAUUAUAAAAUAUAAAAAAGGUAGGUACAUAUAAGGGAAAUAUGUAUGUAUACGCAUAAAAUUAUGGAAAUAUGAAAUAUAUAUAUAUAUGUAUUUUAAAAUUAUUAAAUAUAAAAUUUUAUGUAAGUGUGGAUAUACAUGUAUAUGUAUAUAAAGUAUAUAUAAUAAGGAAUAUGCAAGCAUGUAUAUAUAUAUAUGAAAAUUAAAAAUAUGAAUUUAAAGAUAUAUAUAUAAAAAAAAUAAGACAUAAAAUAUACAUGCAAGUAAAAACGUAUAUAUAUAUAUAUAAUAAGAUAUAAAGUAUAUAUAUGAAAAUUAAAAUGUUUGUGAAUGUGUAGAUAUGUAUGUAAGUUAUGAAAUAAAAAGGUAAAUUUGUAUAUACAUAAAAAAAUAAAAAGGAGUAAGAAGAAUAUGUGUAUAUAUAUUUAAAAUUAUGAAAUAUAAAAUGUGUAAGUGUGUGUAUAUAAAGUAUAAAUAAUAUGUAAGUAUGUAAAUAAAUAAAUAUAAAUUAUAGGCGUAUGGAUCCUUUAUAAAAAUGUAUGGUGGAUAUAGACGUGUAUAUAUAUAUAUGCAAUUAUAAUAAUGAUAAUAAUAAUAACAACAUCAUUAAAUUUGUCAAUUUUAAAAAUAAACUAACCAAAAUAACGAAAAAGGACUAAUUUGAACUUAAAACAAAAAUCUGGGGGGAAAAUCGCAAAUAAAAUAAGAAAGGAGUGGCCAGGGACCAAAAUAAAACAUGCUUAAAGCGCAAGGGACCUGUUGAGAAAUAUUCCCUUUCACUGAAACGUUGCGUUUCGACCGAGGGGGGGCAUGGUCUAAGGACCAAAUCGAAAUACAAACUAAAUUCACAGGCCGAAUAACAAAUAACCAAAAAGGAUCAGAUCGGCUACUGCACAAAAGCGGAGGGGCCUAUUGCGCAAAUAGCCCCUUUGGCGAAAACACGCGGAUCCCCUGGGUCGGAUCGGGUCGACGCGCGGGUCAAGGCGUGUCAAAACGGCGCCGUUUUGUGUUUACUAUAAAUAUUAAAAAAACCCCAAAAACAAAUCAGUUUCAUCAUUUAAAAAAAACAGAGAGAGAGCUCUCUCCCCUCUCUCUCAGGCCCCAAGUUAGGCCAAGGGUUCUGGCGAUCCUCCGCCAUUGACGGCGUCACGCCGGCCAUCGUACACGGUGGCCGGAAAAUUCAAAGGUAAAAUUUUUCUCUCCUUUUUCUCUCUUUUAUUUUAUAUUAUUGAUAUCUAAAAUAAAUGAAAAAAAUAAGAGAUAAAAAAAUGGGAAUCUAAGAAGAAAAAACCUUUAAACUUGCUUUUUUUGUUUUUUUUUAAUUUCAAACGUUCGUAGCAAAACGAAAGAAGAGAAAACUCUUCUUCUUUUAUAGCAAACUCGGUUUUUUUGCCGAAAAGGAAAAAAAAGAAUCAAAUAAAAAUCCCCCUUUUUACAUGUUCUUAGUUUCGGCUUUUAAAGCCGAUUUACAUGAAAUCCCUAGUCUAUGCCUAUGCCUGUCUCGCUUGCCUUGAUUUGUUUGCAGGGAUCAACGCACGUGGAUGGAAGUGACGGUGGCAGUUGGCGGUGGUUGCUGGCAGAGCAGGUGGGCAGAAGACCAAAAGUCAGAAGACCCUAGGAGCGGUGCCUAGGGUUCUUCUGUUUUCUGCUAGGGUUUUCUGUUUCCUUUUUUUGGUUGGGCCAUUUGGGCUGUUUAAGUUAGUUGGGUAUUGAAAGUUUGGGUUUAAUUUGUUUUGGGUUUGUAUUAGUUUUGAUGGGCUUUGGGCUUGGGGUUUAUUACUGGGCCCGGGCAAAAUGGCCUACAACAGCUGUCCCUCUUUGCUCGUUGUCGUGUAACGAGAAAAGAGCAAAGACCAAGAAAGGCCAACUUUGCCCGGUCUCGCUUGUUUUGGACUCGCUCUAGUGCUUCUCUUCAAGUAGCUUUAUUUCAGUCCACUGUGGCUUGUUGCUUCGCUCUACUCAACUGCACUUCUGAAACCUCUGACUUGUAGCCUCAAUCUUCUUCACAGCAACUUUAGGGGGACAAAGUUUAUGGUUUUAAUUUACUCCACUGCAACUUCAGGGAGAUAAGAUCUGUGGUUUUAAUCCGCUCCGCUGUAACUUCAGGGAGAUAGGAUAGUGUCUUCGAUCUGCUCCGCUGUAACCUCAGGGGGAUAAGAUCUGAAAUUCUUCGGUCUACUCUACUGUAACCUCAGGGAGAUAAGACCUGGUGUGAUCUGCUCUACUGUAACUUCAGAGAGAUAAGAUCCUUUAUUUUAAUCCGCUCCACUGUAACUUCAGGGAGAUAGGAUUAUGUCUUCGAUUUGCUCCGCUGUAACCUCAGGGAGAUAAGAUCUGAAAUUCUUCGGUCUACUCUACUGUAACCUCAGGGAGAUAAGACCUGGUGUGAUCUGCUCUACUGUAACUUCAGAGAGAUAAGAUCCUUUAUUUUAAUCCGCUCCACUGUAACUUCAGGUAGAUAGGAUUAUGUCUUCGAUCUGCUCCGCUGUAACCUCAGGGGGAUAAGAUCUGAAAUUCUUCGGUCUACUCUACUGAAACCUCAGGGAGAUAAGACCUAAUGCGAUCUACUCUACUGUAACUUCAGAGAGAUAAGAUCCUGUCUUCGAUCUGCUCCGCUGUAACCUCAGGGAGAUAAGAUCUGAAAGUCUUCGGUCUACUCCACUGUAACCUCAGGGAGAUAAGACCUGACGCGAUCUACUCUGCUGUAACUUUAGAGAGAUAAGAUCAUUCAUUUUAAUCCACUCCACUGUAAUCUCAGGGAGAUAGGAUUACUAACUUCAAUCUGCUCCGCUGUAAUCUCAGAGAGAUAAGAUCUGAAAUUCUUCAGCCAGCUCCACUACAACCGAGAGAGGUAAGGUUCGUCUUCGACCUGCUUCGCUGUCAAUGCAGGAAGGCAAGAUCUUUUGUCUUCAACCAGCUCCAUCACAACCGAGAGAGGCAAGGUUUGUGUCUUUGACCUAUUUCACCGUCAAUGCAGGAAGGCAAGAUCUUUUGUCUUCAACCAGCUCCAUCACAACCGAGAGAGGCAAGGUUUGUGUCUUUGACCUGCUUCGCCGUCAAUGCAGGAAGGCAAGAUCUUUUGUCUUUAACCAGCUCCACUGCAACCAAUGAAGGCAAGGCUUUGUUUUCGAUCUGCUUUGCUGUUAACGCAGGAAGGCAAGAUCUACUUCUUUAACCAGCUCCACUGCAACCAAUGAAGGCAAGGCUUUGUUUUUGAUCUGCUUCGCUGUUAACGCAGGAAGGCAAGAUCUGCUUCUUUAACCAGCUCCACUGCAACCAAUGAAGGCAAGGCUUUGUUUUCGAUCUGCUUCGCUGUUAACGCAGGAAGGCAAGAUCUGCUAUCUUUAACCAGCUCCACUGCAACUAAUGAAGGCAAGGCUUUAUUUUCGAUCUUCACUGAUCUGUUCUCUGGGAAACAUGACCUGUAUAAUGAACCUAAUUAUGCCUAAAGAUUAGGAUGGAAUGAUCAAAAUGAAUCAAAUGCUCCUAACUAGACAUGUGUGAACGGUGUUUGCAUGAAUGCAAAAUUUUAUUUUUCCGAGAAUGAUCCCGCCGAGGUUGUCAUUACUCGAAGUUUAUUAAGGCUUUGUGACUGACGUGCUACAACGUCUUCUCACUUGACCGACUUCUCCAAAGCAUCACUUCAGUCAGAUUGCCCCCACUGUGAAAUCCACUAGGACACAAAAUUUGUACCAUCAUUCUCCCACUGCAACCCAAUAGUAGAAAUAUGUGGCUUUUCCUCAAUCUUCUCCUAUCACAAUUCAAGGAAACAGGACGCAAAUCAUUCUAGUUUCUCACACCAUUCCCAAGGUGUCAUACUCAUGUGCAAAUAAAUGAUCUCUUCUCCGAGGUAAGCUCUGACUAUUGCCUGAUGAUCAUUGCUUGCUUGUUCAUUUAAGCUUUGUCAUUAACCCGUCAUCUUAUCAUUUUGUUCAAUCAAUGCAUUUGACAAUGAAAUCCAAAGAGAAAGUCCAAAUUUAUACUAUUCCUUCUCAAAUCUCCAACCUUUAAAUUUGGUGUGCUUUAAACGAUAGUCCUGUUUCAGGUUCCUAUAUUAUUUAGAAACUUUUCCGAGUAAUAUACAAAACUUCCUUUGUGAAAGUUUUAUUAGUCCAUUAACCAUUAUUCCAAUGCAACAUGUUUGCAGAAAAGGGUCAUAACAAUGGAUAAGAAUAAAGUUGGUUCUGAGCAUAGCUCGAAAGAACAAAUUAUCAAAAUAGUAAAGAAGGAUGACAAAGAAAUUAAUUGGGAAUGUAUAUCUUGGAAAAGAAAAAAGUAUUCCAAGAACAACAAAUAAUAUGAGAAUUGGGUGCCCCAGAUAUCGCAGCUUGAACUUCUCUGUACAAGCUUUCUGAAGACCAUUUUGAGCUGGACAUGCGUUUAGGAGAUCUACAGUGCUCUGUUGAUGCCCCAAGGUGUCGCCUAUCCUUUCUUGUUGAUUCAGGUAUAGCAAGAUCACCACAUGCCGCAAUAUGAUCAAAAGUCGAAUCGCUCUGGUUGCCUCAUGCCCUAUUCUGAGCAAAUAUUUGAUCCGCCCUUUUCGGGUUUUCAACUCAAAUCCCCUUUGGCCUAAGGCGCCCUUUGCGGGUUUUCCCCUUAGCCUCUCCAUUUUUCAUUUUUUCAUUUUUCAUUGUCAUUUGCCUCUCUCUUUUUUGACUCAAAGUGCCCUUUGCGGGUUUUCACCUUGGUCAUUUCUCCUUCUUUAAACGAAAUAUUUCUUGAUUGGAUCCGAGUUUAUAGGACUAGCAAUCUCACUCAAGAUCAGUGCUCUUCUGAAAAAUGUCUUCUUUACAACGUAGGGACAUUCUCAGUUUGGCAUUCAUUUCCCUCUAGAAUCCUUUUGGAGAGGAAUGAUCUUUUUCGACAUCCAACCCUCUCGUGGAAUUCUCUGAGAUGACACUGUUCAUUAUGGGCUCGUAUCAUUUGUUUUCGGUACAUCCGACCUUGAAGAAUAACUUUUAACAUUUUUCCUAGGUUCAACUGAUCGCAUUGCGAUUGAAUCCAUUCUGCUUCAUCCAAUUCUAGCUCAACUAAUACUCGGAGAGAAAGGAUUUCAAUAUGUGAAACUACCUAAACCCCGCAAACCAAAGAGAAAGCUAUUGCCCCGGUACAGAUGUUCGACAAGCAAUGAAGGCAAAUAGUAAUUUCUCAUGCCAAUCCUUGUAAGUCUCAGUCAUUUUCCUUCAAUUUUCGAUGUUCAACUCUAGGCACUUCAGUGACGAAUCGUGGUGUCCACUUCUGAGUUAAUUUGAGACCUCGGCUAUCGUGCUAUUGUUUGGCUCAUGAAGUAGCCUCUCAAAAUGAAGCAAUGCCCAUUAGAAGUCUUCGAUAAUGGUGAUGUCCAUGCCCCAUUGUGCUCAAAAUUUGAGUCACCCUUUUCGGGUUUUCAACUCAAAGCCUCGUUUGGUCACAAAGCGCCCUUUGCGGGCUUUCGCUUUGGCCUCUUCUUUUAUUUUUCUUUUCUUUUUCAUUCUGAUUUUCUCAUCUAGAUUUCUAUUUUUUAUUCUUCUUUCUUUUUCUCAUUUUCAUUUUGAUCUUGAUAUUGAUUUUUUUCUUCCCUUUUUUUUUAUCUGAGCCUUUUGGGGCACAACUUCGACAAAAAACUUUGGAUCUUCCUUUUUAAUCAGGAUGGACCCAACAAUAACUUGAAGAGAUGAAAAUUCGACUUCAAAUGGGCAAAACUAUGCUGACUUCACGAGAAAGGCAUUGCCCCGGCAAAGAAUUACAUCGUUCAUACUGCAAAUUUCUGACAUCGUGCUGUUGUGUAGAUUUCAUUAUCGACAUUUAACCCGGGCAUAUCCUGGUAUGAUUAUACAAAGAUAUCAUCGAACUCUAGAGGUAACUUGAUGAGGUCUCACUUCAUUUUUGCUGUUUGGUCAAUUCUAAUCUUUGCCAAGCUCACGAUUUCUAAUGAUUCCUUGUGAGGUAGGAUCUAUCUAUCCUCUUGUUCAACCAUCCUUAACAAGUCAGGAGAUAAAUUACAAUCUUUGUCAUUUUCAAAGCCUUGAGAUCCCUCUGAACACAUGCCUCGCUCAAAAGGAAAAUCUGGGUCUGUAGCAGAGUCAUUCACGUAAUUGAUAUCCGGGGACUCAUAAUAAGUACCAAAGAAUAUACAAAAGAAAGUAUAAUAAAUUUAUGAAUAAUUAUUUAUACUAUAUGAUUAUGAGUGAAUGAUGUGAAAGCAAAUCUAAAAGAAUGAAAUAAUCAGAAAUAAUUAUUCAAAAAGAAUGAAAGAAUAUUGGCUCAAAAAGGAAUGCAAAGAUGUAUUUUAUUAGAAUAAUAACGUUCAGACAUUAGCCUAUUUCACAAAGGAAUUUCUAUCGCUUUAGGCUAAAAACAACAGAAAUGUUCUGAACAUUACUCUAAAUAAGCCCUGAUAGCUACAGGAAUUUCUUCCGCAGUCUAAUUGUUUAGAACACUCCAGAAUUCAUAAGGGCUGACAUCUAACAAGGUCCCUUCCCAAUUGUGUCUUCAGACACGUCGUUGAUGUGAACAUUUCCUAACACUUCUUCGUACACCUCAUUCGCCUCGUCAUUAAUAUGAUUGGGCAGUGUAUUUUCUGCACUAGAGGAAUCAUCAAAUUUAACAACGCCCAUACUGAUAAGCCUUUCAAUCAGUUUGUUAAAAGGCAAUGCAAUUCUCUACUGAGUACCCUAAAAUUCUCGAAUGAUAAUCACAUUGCAUGUUCAUAUCAUACCAUUUGGGAUAAGGAGGCUAUAAAGGGGUCAAGUAACGAGGAGCACCAACAUGCGCAUCGAACAAGCUUUGAUACAGCUCCUUAUAUGACAUCGAAAUUGGUGUGACCUGGAGCUUCUCAGUACCUGGUUUCACUCUAGAUUUUUGCUUUAAAAGGCUCUGAUGGCUGGUGGUCUCCGUCUUUGGCAUGCCCACAGUGAUUGGUUUUGAGUGGCCCUUGUUAUAUCCGCCUAUAUUAUCCCUUUUAUUCCCCUUCUUCCUUGGGGCCUUUAUAGUAUUUGGGUACUCUAUCCUCAUCUUCUUUAUUUCGGCUAGAUUAGCAAUAGGAUUAGCUAAAUCAUUCCUCAAAUUGGAUUCUAAGCCUGUCAGACAAUUCACUGGUGUCGAUGUACCAGUCUGAUAAUAUUGGGAUCCGAUAGUAAAAAGUGCUCCUUGUGAACGCCCAUCUGGUUAGACCUAGACACUUGUUGGAGUACAAUAUAUGGAAUAGACAAGAUCCUCAUUAUCAACCCCAAAGUAAACCACCGGGUCUUUCACUUCUUUUGACUUUCCAGCUAGCAAUCGGUUGAACUGGUUUAUCACAGUUCUCCGUAAUUCUAGCAUCUGAUCUCUCAUCUCCUGUUGAAAUUCAGUCAAUUGCUCAUGCAUCUGGAUCUGCAUUCGCUCUAAUUUUUCCAACCUUCGUUCCAUUUCUCUUGCCUUUGCUUGGAUAUCGUAAGGAUGUUUGGUCGGUUGGCUUUCCAGUUUAGCCGAAAUAAAUUUACUCGUUUAGACUCUUUCAAUGGAUUUUAAUGCAUGUAAUGCAAUGUAAUGCAAAUGCAUAAAAUGAAUGCCUAAAGAGACAUUGAUUCUGAUUCAACUACAUUUAGGAAACUUUUCUAGAAAGCAAAUUCCUUUACAUAAAACGGAUACAUGUACGGCCUCACCCUCAUAUUCCAAGAAACAACAUCAGUCUUUUUCUUCAUCCGCAUGUUUGAGGUAAUCUCGCCAAUAGAUGCCAUUGCUAGCUCAUUCUCUUGAUCUUGGUCGCGAUCCAUCAUCUGCCCAUCUUCAUAAGGCUCGUCAGCUUCUUUAAGGGAGUGGAACGUUGAAGGCUCUUAGACAAUUGCCUUGAAUCCUAAGGCCACGAAGCAGGAUCACGAACUCUUCCAUCUCCAUUCUUGUGUUUCUCAGAAUAUAUUCGGGAAGUCGUAUUGUUUUCCACUUUAUCAAGGAAUUCGUAUUCCAUGACAAGCUUUCUAAUUUAGUAAUCGAACUUGAAUCAAUAUCUCUUUCUUAAGAUGCAAAUGCAAUGUAAUGCAAUCAUAAUCAAAACACAACAAGAAGGGUUAGAACAAAACAUAAGCAAGCAUGGGAAAAAAAAACCUAAUCAGGUAAAUACUAGGGAUUUGGAGUGGCUCUACCUAGGUUAAAUUCCUAAGUCCACUAUAUGAGGGUUGGUUCUAAAGAUAAGGUACCCGAACCAGCAAAUUCCUCGAUCUUCACCCAUUAUAAGCUCAUACAGACCGAGUUCGGUUCAGGGGAAUACAUUUCCCUAUGGCUGCACGGAGAUGAAAAUCUCACGAAGACAUAGGUACGGAUGUAUCCCGGAAGUGAUCCACUAUCCUGCACGGAGGUGAAAACCUCACGAAGGACUAGCUUCUCACUCCCACUUAAGAAGGUGUGACCAACGGUCAUGCAAUGCAAUGCAGAAAGGCAUAAAAAAAAUUUAAAAUACAAAAUAAGAUGAAAACUAUAACUCAAAACAAAUGAAAUGCAAUGAGUGGAUCAUAUAUUUAAAUCACAUUUUCAACUUUCGACAAAAAGACAAGAAAUAAUCAACUCGUGGCUUGACUCUCUUAUUUUGGGUCCCCAGUGGAGUCGCCAAGCUGUUGACACCAUUUUUUGGAUGGAAAACGGGGUCGACUUGGGUUUUGAAAAUGAAAACAAAAACGGGAGUCGCCACCAAUCCUUUUUGAUGAGGUGUGAUUGGGUCACCUCGAAGGGUAGUUGUUUUUAAUAAAAGGUUUGAUUUUAUUAAAACAACAAGUUUGGUCUACAAAAUCCAGAAAAAUAGGUUCGGGAGUCGGUUACGCACGAGGAAGGAUUAGCACCCUCGAUACGCCCAAAAUUGGUACCCAGAUGAUUACUUAAUGUCUUAGUGUCGAAGAUUGAAAACUUUAAAGAAAUUUAAAAUACGAUCCUUAAAAAAAACUCGUACGGCAUGGAUUUAAAUUCAAUAAGAUAUUUGGCAAUUUGGUUAAACGAGAAAUCGAAACCCAGCACCUUAGGGCACGUUCCUCGAAUUUCCAAACGCAAAACAUUGCCUUAUUUUGAAAUUUUUAAGAAGGAUAUUAAGCCAUUUAGUUGAACGAGAAAAAUCGACACCCAGCACCUUAGGGCAUGUUUUCUCGAAUUUCUAAACGGCAAAACAUUGCCUUAUUUUGAAAUUUUUGAAAGGAUAUUUAGCUAUUUGGUUGAACGAGAAAAAUCGAAACCCAGCACAUUAGGGCACGUUUUCUCGAAUUUCCAAAAGCUAAACAUUGCCUUAUUUAGAAAAAUUUUCCUUUUUUGAAGUAUGGUGUUAAUAUACAUAAUGGAAUAAUAAAUAUGACAAUUUGAACAAAAAUAAUAUAAGCAAAAAUGAAUAAUAAAAAAAAAAACAAAUCAAUCAUGUAUAUACCAUAACGAAUAAAUAAAUAAAUAAACAAACUAAAACAUAAAAAAUGGACAUAUAAAUAAGGACAUAAAUGAAAGAAAAAAUAAAGGAAAAUAUAUGAAAAUUAUAAAAUAUAAAAAAGGUAGGUACAUAUAAGGGAAAUAUGUAUGUAUACGCAUAAAAUUAUGGAAAUAUGAAAUAUAUAUAUAUAUAUGUAUUUUAAAAUUAUUAAAUAUAAAAUUUUAUGUAAGUGUGGAUAUACAUGUAUAUGUAUAUAAAGUAUAUAUAAUAAGGAAUAUGCAAGCAUGUAUAUAUAUAUAUGAAAAUUAAAAAUAUGAAUUUAAAGAUAUAUAUAUAAAAAAAAUAAGACAUAAAAUAUACAUGCAAGUAAAAACGUAUAUAUAUAUAUAAUAAGAUAUAAAGUAUAUAUAUGAAAAUUAAAAUGUUUGUGAAUGUGUAGAUAUGUAUGUAAGUUAUGAAAUAAAAAGGUAAAUUUGUAUAUACAUAAAAAAAUAAAAAAGAGUAAGAAGAAUAUGUGUAUAUAUAUUUAAAAUUAUGAAAUAUAAAAUGUGUAAGUGUGUGUAUAUAAAGUAUAAAUAAUAUGUAAGUAUGUAAAUAAAUAAAUAUAAAUUAUAGGCGUAUGGAUCCUUUAUAAAAAUGUAUGGUGGAUAUAGACGUGUAUAUAUAUAUAUAUGUGCAAUUAUAAUAAUGAUAAUAAUAAUAACAACAUCAUUAAAUUUGUCAAUUUUAAAAAUAAACUAACCAAAAUAACGAAAAAGGACUAAUUUGAACUUAAAACAGAAAUCUGGGGGGAAAAUCGCAAAUAAAAUAAGAAAGGAGUGGCCAGGGACCGAAAUAAAACACGCUUAAAGCGCAAGGGACCUGUUGAGAAAUAUUCCCUUUCACUGAAACGCUGCGUUUCGACCGAGGGGGGGCAUGGUCUAAGGACCAAAUCGAAAUACAAACUAAAUUCACAGGCUGAAUAACAAAUAACCAAAAAGGAUCAGAUCGGCUACUGCACAAAAGCGGAGGGGCCUAUUGCGCAAAUAGCCCCUUUGGCGAAAACACGCGGAUCCCCUGGGUCGGAUCGGGUCGACGCGCGGGUCAGGGCGUGUCAAAACGGCGCCGUUUUGUGUUUACUAUAAAUAUUAAAAAAACCCCAAAAACAAAUCAAUUUCAUCAUUUAAAAAAAAACAGAGAGAGAGCUCUCUCCCCUCUCUCUCAGGCCCCAAGUCAGGCCAAGGGUUCCGGCGAUCCUCCGCCAUUGACGGCGUCGCGCCGGCCAUCGUACACGGUGGCCGGAAAAUUCAAAGGUAAAAUUUUUCUCUCCUUUUUCUCUCUUUUAUUUUAUAUUAUUGAUAUCUAAAAUAAAUGAAAAAAAUAAGAGAUAAAAAAAUGCGAAUCUAAGAAGAAAAAACCUUUAAACUUGCUUUUUUUGUUUUUUUUUUUAUUUCAAACGUUCGUAGCAAAACGAAAGAAGAGAAAACUCUUCUUCUUUUACAGCAAACUCGGUUUUUUUUGCCGAAAAGGAAAAAAAAGAAUCAAAUAAAAAUCCCCCUUUUUACAUGUUCUUAGUUUCGGCUUUUAAAGCCGAUUUACAUGAAAUCCCUAGUCUAUGCCUAUGCCUGUCUCGCUUGCCUUGAUUUGUUUGCAGGGAUCAACGCACGUGGAUGGAAGUGACGGUGGCAGUUGGCCUUGAUUUAUAAUGUAGAGCUCGAUUUUGAUAUAAAAAUUUACUGAAGUUCGUUAUAUUAGAUUCGUUUGCCAAAUAAAAUGAAAAAAAAGGGUCAAAUUCUAUUAUUAAUUCUUACACUAUGUAUAAGUCAUGGAUUUAGUUUAUGUAUUUUAAUUUGGUUAUUUUUAGUCACUAUACUUUUCAAAAUUUAAAAUUUCAAUCUUCAUCAAAUAGUAACUAUUAAAUUUAUUAAGUUAAACUAUACUAUUUUAAAAAAUAUGAUAUAAAAAUUAUAUUAUCAUAUUAACUUGUUAUUUUCAUAUAAUACUCAUAAAAAGGUCACAUUAUUUUAGUUAAUGAAUUUAACUACUAUCGUUUGAGUCAAUAUUGAAAUAUCAAAUUUGAAAAGCAUAAAGACUAAAAAUGAUCAAAUUGACGACCAAAUUAAAGUACAUGAACUAAACUUACAACUUAUGCGUAAUAUAAGGACUAAUAGUGAAAUUUGACCAAAAGAAAACAUGAAAUGAAACAUGCAUACAUACGUACCCUAAGUGCAAGGAAGUGUCUGGGAGAUGGUUGUCAUCAUCUGAUGCACUAUUAUUAUCAUCAGCCUUUGAAUUAUUUGGUGAAUGUUCAAGUCUUCUUUCCAGCAAUAGAUUCAAUUCUAGUAUAUUCGAGCUCCUUUUUUGUCUCAAUUCCUCAACCUUAAAACCACAUUCAAUAAUCAACAAAAUACAAUAUUAUACACUCCAAAAUCUUAAUAUUAUAUAUAAGCUAAACUACACUACUAAUCACUCAAUUAUCGGUAAGUUUAUUUUUUGAUUACCUAAUUAUAAAAAGUUACAAAAUAGUCAUGAUUUUGUCCUUUUUGUCAUCCGUUAUUAAAUGGCUAAUGGCUAAUGGAAAGAUUACCUGGCAGGUUUUAAAAUUGGCAUUAUAGCGAUUUUAACCCUCAACAUUUAUACAUUAUAUCGAUUUAGUCUUGACUCUAAAAAGUUUAUCUCUCAACAUUUACAUGUAGUGUAAUUUAGUGUUUUUUACAAUUUUUUUUGUGUGACCUUUUAACAGCUUAAAAAAUAAAUUUAUCCAGCUAAAUUUUAUCAAAAAUAUAUUAAAUUAACACUCAAUGUCACAAAAAAAGCAAAACUGCAAAAAAGACUAAAUUAUAGAAUGUGUAAAUGUUGAGAGUUAAAUUUUUUAGAAUGAAGAUUAAAUUGACACAGUAUAAAUGUUGAAAGUUUAAAUUGCUAUUAUGCCAAUUUUAAAAGUCAUCAAAUUACCUUUCUGUUAGUGAUUUAACUGUUGGUGACAAAAAAAAAAAUUCAACAGUUGGGUGAUUAACAAUAUAGUUUACUCUUAUAUAUAUGUAAAUACAUGUGUAGCAGUACGUACCUGUUUGCGUAGAUCUUCAUUCUCCAUUAUAGUCUUCUGUUCCUGAAAAUAUACAAAUAUUAAACCAGAAAUCAUUAGCAUUAAAUGUUAAUUACAAUUAUUUCAAAAGUAAAAUGUACCUGUAAUCGAGAUCUUUUAAGCUGCUCCAUUAGAAUUUGCUCCUACAACAAUAAAGCUUCAGUUUCUAGAGCUCACAAUUAGGCUCCUAAUGGAAUUAUUUUAAGUUUGUGUUUGUAGGAGAGUUACUAAAUAUACUAAAAUUAUGUUUGUCCUGGAUAUCCAUUAAUCUUUUCUGUAUUUCUAAUAUACAUGCUAGAUAUAUAUACUAAAAUUAUAUAUUUAUAUAAUAUGAGAAGAUUAUAUAUAUAAAUAUAAUUUGUAGGAAUAUUAAUGUCAGUACCUUUUGUUGCUCAACUGAUGCUAUCCCUUCGUUUAAUUGAUUCUCCAGCUGUUUUAAUUCUUUGAAACUCAAAUCAUCUAGUUCUUUUCCAUUAAGCCUCCUGCAAAUCACACCUCAAAUUUUACUUAAUCAAAUACUUAUUUAUUUAUUUAUUUACGUAUUAACACCUAUCACUUGUAUUUUAUACAUAUUCAGAUAUAUGUAUGAAAAUGUAAUUUCACAUUUUAUUUACCAUUCACAUUUAAAUCCAAAUAACAUAGAUUCGAAGAUUUAUUUCUAACUCAUUAGUUAUUAUUUGUAAUUUCUUUCAUUUUCCUUACCAUUUUUUUUUAUUGUGAAUGCUUAGUUGAAAUGACAAAAUUAAGGUUUUGAAGAUACGGGUAUCCUAAUGAUUUAUUUUGAAUUUAAACUAUUUUUUUAUAGAUUUUAUAUAAAUACAUAAAUGAAAAGACAAAAAGCAAACUCAUAAUAUUAUUUGUUAUCUUUUAAAUAAAAACCCCUUUUUAAAAUUAUUUUUCAACUAAAUUGAUCUUUAGUUAAACUCGUGGCUUCAACUCAGUUAGAUAAUUAUAUAUAGUAUAAUUAACAAACAAUAGAAUUGAAAUUGGCAUACAUGUAUGCUGUGUGUAGCCUUAAAUGUUCCUGUUUCAUGGUGUUCACCUCAAUUCCUUGCAACUUCUGUUUUUUUAACAAAAAAAAACACACACACGAUAUUAGAAAUGUAAUUAUUAUUUCGAUCAAGUCUUAACUCAACUGAUAUUGACAUUGACAUCAAUAUAUAUAUAUAUACCUCAGCUUGUUGCUCAUCAAAAGGGUGUUCUAGAGAAUGCUCUUCUUCCAUUCCUUUGUUGUACCUUGAAAGAGUGUGUUCCAUGCUACAUUCAUAAAAUGUCAUGUUUAAAAAAAAACAAUAAAUUAAAAAUAAAAAUCUAACUCAUUAUUAGGGUUUAGGAUUUUUUUUAACCUAUAUUGUUUGGACUUGAGCCGAUCAAAUUUAUGACAAGUUAUUCUUAGCUUAUCGUAACUAUUUAUGUAUCAUUUUUGUUUUAAUAUGAGUAUGUGUUGUUGUGUUUUAGUAUAUAGUUUCGUAUUUAUCAUUUUUUUAAAUAUUAUAUAUAUAAUAUACUUGCAAAUAUUUCUUAAUUAUAAUAUGUAAAUAUAAAAUAUAAAAUUAUUAAUUAAGAAAGGUUAUAUAUUAUUUUUUAAAGCAAUUAUAUAAAAAAAGUAGUUAAGAAAGAAAAGGGAAAUAUUAAAAAUUCCUUUAUAGGAAUUAAUACUCACCGAUACAAGCAUAUAUUAAUUGAAAUGAAUCAAAACUCAAUGAAAUUUUAAUUGAAGUGAAACUUAAACUAUUUUACUCUAGUUCAAUAUCGAGGCGAUUCAUAACGAUUGAUACAACUAGUAUCGAAACUACCGACUACCAUACCACAAAGCAAAAAGAAAAAUAAUGGAAAUCAAUCAAAUUACAACUCAACUUACUUUCAUGCUUAGAAAAAAAACUGUUCUAAAAAAUAAUCAUCCAAGAAAAUAAAUAUAUAUAAGUUGUAUAGACCGUUACAAACUAAUAUACACUCAUAUAAGUCGAUAUUAACUAAAACAAAUCAAAACACAAUAAAAUUUUAAUAUAUUAAUUCAAUAUUGAGACUAUAGCCAAUUAUUAAGAAAAGAAAAAUAAUGGAAAUCAAUCCAAUUAUAGGUCAACUUACUUUCAUGCUUACAAAAAAGAAAAAGCUUCGAUUAUUAAAAAUCAUCUACAAUAUAUAUAUAUAUAUAUAUAUAUAUAAGUAUUAUACUAUAUUAUGUACCUAGUGCUGGACCAUUGAUAGACCUUGCCGGUGCUUGAAAAAAUAAUAACCCCAACCUCUGCAUCACAUAAAAUGGACAAUUCUUUAGCUUUCUUCAACAACCCAUUUCGCCUCUUUGAAAACGUUACUUGCCUGCUAUUCAAAUUUUCAAUCUUUUUUAUUUCAAUUUUCCCUCUACCCAUCUCAAAAUUUUCUUCUUUCCUUUACUUUUUCCCGGAAAAUUUUUAAAAGACCCCAGAUUUUUUUUUCUUAAAUUUUGAAUAAAAAACCAAAGGUUUUUAUAACAACAAACAGAUCAAAGAAAAUAAGGCAAAAAAUUUAGGGGAUUGUAAAAGGAUUCUUUUUUUAAGAGAAAAGAAAAUAAGUAAGUAAUGUUUAUAUAUAACAAUUGUUUUCUUAAAUGGAAAUGGAAAAUGAUAUGGAAAAAGAAAAUAUGUGACCAAAAUUAGGGUGAAAUCUUGAAAGGUGACAGAUUUGAUUCUAUAUCUAGCAAUUAUCCAACUAUGGAAACUCUAUUUAUUAUAGCUUUAGUUUUUUUUUUCUUUCUAUUUAUCUUAAUUUCUCUACCUUUUUAAUCUGCUGUUUUUGGCAUUUCAACUCAAAAUGGAUUUGAUUUUUGCUUUGGGUUUCUUUUUUUAAAUAUAAAAAGUGGGUUUUAAUUAUUUAUAUAUUAUUGUGCUUUAAUAAUUUUUUUUAGUGAAUAUUGAUUUUUUUUUUGAAUUACAAUAGGAGAGUAAAGUCCUAAUAACAACACGACUAGAGCGAUUAGAAUUUAGCCACACUUGAGACAUUGAACACAAGUAUUUCACGAGGACAUAUAACACAUGUUUUUUAAAUUCAUGGCUAAAAUAAUAAUAAAAAUCUCUUUAUUUUAUUGUAUUCAAAUAAUAAUAAAAACCAUGGUUUUAGUUGUAUCGGCCUGUGCCAUUGUUUUACUGUUAUAAUGCAACAAGCAACACUAAUGAAAAUUUUGGUUUGUACCGUUCGCAUUGGCCAGAAUAUGAUACACCUGCUACUGCAUGAAUAAUAUUAAAAAAUAUAAAACUAUUAACUAUUUUCUAUUAGACUAAAUAUUUAAUUGAAAUGUAUUGACCAAUAAAAAAAUAUUAUACUAUAAAGUAAAGUUUAACAUUUAAAACUAUUUUUGGAGCAUACUUUUUCAUUUAAAAUAUAAAAAUUAAAAUAUAACAAAAAAAAACCCACUCACCUCGUUAUCAUAGAAAAAUAUUCACUCGCCCUUCAGCUUUUUUUUAUUGAAAAAACCCCCUCAUCCUUCGAUUUAUUUUUUCUUCUUAAUUUUGAAUUUAUUGAAUGAUGAGUUUUUACUUGUAGAGUUUAUUAAUCAAUAUUUUAUAUAAUUGAUGAAUAGUUUUAUAUUAAAAAUUAUUUAUAAUAAUUUAUUUGAUAUUUGUAUAUUUAUUUAUGUAAAUAUAUUAAAUAUUUUAAAAAAUAUCGAUAAAUUUAAAAUGGCACAUAAAAUAGACUAGUAUCAAUACAUAACGAUUCUCAUAAAAAAGUGGUGCUUACACCAAUGUGUUAAUGGCUACCUUUGAAAGCAAGUAUGUGGGUGGCUAUAAUGUUUGAUGCUUUGUUUUCUUUGAAUAUUUUGCUUUGAUGCUUUUGAUCUGUGCUGAUCUUUUGAGUGCAACCAUUGGGAUAUAUAUGGCUAUAUGAAUUUUUAUGAUUUGCUAUGCAUUGAUUGUGGUUGUUUUAUUAAUAAAUUUAUGUUUUGGAUUGAGAAAAAAAAUUCGAAACACAAAAAGAAAGUAGAGAAAGUGAACACAAUGAUAUACGUGGUUCGGGAAUAUUCCCUACAUCCACGGGCAGAACCAAAAAUGAAAUUCACUACUAAAAAUUGGAGAUUACAAUGGAAUUACAUCAUAAAAUAAAUUACCUCGCCAAUAACUAUCCACAAACUUUGAAUGGAUUCAUGGUCUGAGAAAUUCGGAAAACUAAGAUGGACAUCUUUGAGAUUGGAUAGAACAAUAUUUUGGGAACUUUGUCGUCUUACAUGUGUCAAAUUGAGCUCUCUAAUGCCAUGUUGUAACGUGUACUAUAUCCCUCCAUUAAUCCUGGAAGGAUCAAACUAUCACGUAAAAGACUUGUUCUUCUGAAAAACCAUUGGUUAAUAGUACUACGAAAUGUCAAAUAUUUUUAACUAAAGAAUCCCAUUCUCAUAUACCAAAAUAGCUUAGAAAUUAGAAGAUGCAAAUGAAAACAGAACAUUCAAUUUGCUGAAUAAAUGUUGCAGAGAAUUGACUAACCGCUUUACUAAAUCAAAUAAGCUGAAGCAGAUGAGUUGAAGUUCACUAUUUUUCGCCAAUUUAGUGUCUGCAAAAAUUGAAUACAAAAUAUAUAAGACUCGUUUCUGUUAUCAUGUUGUUCAUGAGGUCAAUCAGAUAUAUAAAAAAUAAAGCUAUGAAAUUUAUAAAUGUUUAAAAUGCGUUUCACACCUGUGCUUUGAGUGUGGAGAAAUCGAUACCAGAUUUUGCUGCUUAAAUUUCAAUACCUCGGGAUGACUAUAUUCUUAUCAAUUUGAACAUAAGGUAUGUGGGAAAUCUUGGACCACUCUCGUCCUUUACCCCUAUUGCACCCUUCUUCUAGCAACGGGCAACGCUGAAUAGAUAGACGCUCAAGCGAGAGAAGCAUAACUUUUUCUGGAAGAGAGGCGAGCUUAGGACAAUCAUAGAUGCCCAAUUUUUGAAGAGAGGUGAGGUGUUGUAAGCCCUUGGAGCACAUGAAUUCCAAAUUUUCAAAUCUACGGAUGCUGAUUUCGGUGAGAGAAGGAGGCAGCGCCAUUCCUAUCCCUUCUUCUGGAAACGACACCACAUUUGAGCAUCCUUCACCGCUGAUGUUGAGUCGCUGAAGAGAGGUAAGUCUGUUAAAUCCCCAUUGAACAAGUGAUGUAUAAAUUUUGGGUGCGUUUGAGAUUGCAAGUGAUGUGAGGUUGGCAGGGAAACCCUCUUCUGGAAAGGAUAUGUCAGCCGAACAAUAAGACACCUUCAAUUCUCGAAGGGAGGUGAAGUUGUUGAUGCACUUGGGAAGGACUCCAAAAUUUUCACAAUUCUCAAUUGCGAAAACUCUGAGAUUUGUCGUGGGCAACCCACUUUCUUCAAAUGAAACCAGAUUUGGACACCUAGAUAAUUUAAUCUCCUGAAGAUGGCUGAGCUUGUCUAAUCCCCGCGGUAAUGAUUUAAUUUUUUCAGCACCACGAAUGCCAAUGCUUUCGAGAUCAAUGGUUUCAAAGAAGUCUUGGGCUAUGCAUUCCAACACUGGACAAUCCCAAAUAAAUAGCUGUUUAAGCAUUACGGGUAACUUGGCGUUUAAAAAUAACCUAGUUAGCUUUGAACAACUUUCAAUUUCGAGAUGUUGAAGUCGAUUGCAUAUAUCGCCCCUUGAUAAUAACCAUAUUAGAGAUGGACAGCUUCUUAUUACUAAGUGCUCAAGAAGACAAGUGUUGCUAUUCGCACUCUUAUUAUUAUUUUCUUUUUCAUCAACCAAAUAUUGCAAAUUCACGCAAUUCCCAAUCCUCAGCUCUUUUAAUGCAGGAGGAAAGUUACUCUCUGCAAAACAAACCAUGCCUGGACAGCUUUCAAGUUGUAUUCUUGUAAUGAAUGGGAAAGCAUGUAAGGCUUCUGGUAGUCUAUUGAGCCUUUCACAAUUCCUUAUGUUCAGAGAUUCAACACCUGGAAUCUUGUCAAGUUGCAAUCUCUCCUCCUCUGUUUCCAAAGAGACCAAUUGGGGACAAUCCACAAUACUAAUAAAACGAUGCCCGACUAAUCUUAACCCAAUUUGCGAUAAAGAUCCCAACUCCUUCCAACCAGAGAUGACCAAUGUUUCGGAGUUUGCAAACCUCAACAUUAUCCUCUCUGCUGAAAUGUUAAAAUUUGAAAUAUUUGAAACACACAAACUUUUAAAGGAGGUAACCUUCUGUACGGACAAAGAACCUUCAUCCACCAAUUCUUCACACCCUUCAACCCAUAUUUUACGCAGCAAGGGAAAACAAGAAAUUGAAACUACCAGUCUCUUACAGUUGUAGAUUUGAAGCGUCUGCAAGGAUUGAAGGAUGGUUGGCAACCUUCCCAGCAAUAGAGGACAAUGUCUGAUUGAAAGAGAACGAAGGCUGGGGAAUUUCGAUACUUGCUCAUCAUCUUCACAUAGGUCCCACUCCUCCCAAUUCAGCAUAUUGCGAAAAUGCAGAGACUCUAAUGAUGCAAAAGUAUUUGAUUGAUUUUCUCCAAACAUCUCAGCACCAAUCUUGUGUACUUGAUCCAAACCACUAAUUGAAAGAUCUUUUAACAACAACAACCUUCCAAUCGAUGGUAGAGAUUUGCAAUUUUUACAGUCGUGAAGCUCCAAUGACAACAUAUUUUUGAAGGAAGGAUCUGCAAUCCAAGUAGAGAAUUUUGCACCACCAUAAUUCUCAAUGACGAGUUGCUCAAGCUUUUUCGAAGGAUGAAGAGAAUCUAACACCCAUUCUUCAACUUCUUUUUUCCUUGAAGCAUUUUCAAACUUUUUCCUCCAAUGCAAUACCAGUCGAUCAAUCCCCUGCUUCUCAUAUAACUUGCUUUCCCCUGCAUCUUCACCAUUAACAUUCUCCAACCCAGAAAGAAGGAAAUCACCUUUGAGGUUUGACAAAUAUUUCAAACCUCUAAUAUAACUACCAUCACCUUCCCCUAUUAUAAAAUCAGUUAACCUUUGAAGUUUCGUUAGCUUAUCAAUUCUAAAAGGCAUCCUUUCUAUUAAGCGGGCACCUCUGAUAUCAAGAUAAUGCAAGUUGACAAGAUUUUCCAUCUUUGAAGGUAACCUUUGAAGCCUGGAACAGCAAUUUAAUAAUAAAGUUUCCAAAUGGUAAAGAGUGCACAAAGAAUCAGGUAAGCAUUUGAUAUGGGUGUCAGAAAAAUUUAAGUAGCGAAGAUGUUUUAAAUUUUCAAAAACAUCAGGCAACUCGGUGAUUUGAUACCCACUCAAAGAAAGCAUCCUUAAGCAGCCAAGUCUUGGUAACAAAUCAUCCAAAACAACAUUAGUUAAAAAACGCCCCCGAUAAUCACUAGAAAACUUUAAGGGUAGAAAAGUACGUAAAGAAGUCACUUGAUCAAAUGCUUCAAACUUCUUCACUGUGUCAUAAUCACUGACAAGAUAAGAAGAAUGUCGAGUGCGAUUUGAGAACUUCCAUUUCUUAUCACCCUCUAAUUUUGAGCAUAUUUCCCCUGCAACUACUUGAGCUAAAUCAUUGAUAAGGUCAUGCAUUACGAAUCGGGACUUAUCUUUACUGGAUGCCUGAAAAAAUGACCUCAACACUAGAUCUUGAAAAUAUUGAUUUCCGAGAUCUUUAAUUUGAGGCAUAGCUUUUUGUUGCAAGAGACCUUCUGCUCUCCAUAACAAGAUAAUUUCUUCUUCCCCAAAUUCAUAAUCUUUAGGAAGUAUGGAGCAAUAUGCAAAACACCGUUUCAAGUAUGACGGAAGAUGAUGGUAGCUUAACCGCAAAGCUGGAAUUAUGCCACACUGCUCUUCUGGUAAGUUCCAUAUCUCACUCUCAUAUAUUCUUUCCCAUUUUCCAUGAUAUUUAACCGUGCGAAGCAAGCUUCCAAUGGCUUUUGCAGCCAAAGGUAAGCCAUUGCACCUUCUAACAAUUUUCUCUCCAAUUUCUUUAAACUGGAGAUGUCCAUCGAAAUUUCUUGCUUUUAAUGCAUGCUGUGUAAAUAUGGAUAAACAAUCAUCAUCCGAUAGUUUAUCCAAAUGAAAAGCUUUGAGCGGAUCCACAAUAGAUGAAACCAUUUGAAGACGAGUGGUUACAAUGAUAUGGGUCCCUGCUCCAAACGGAGACCGUAAGAUGGUCCAAUCAUUAUAAUUCUCGUUCCAAAUGUCAUCUAAAACAAGCAAGAAUCUUUUCCCAGACAACUUCUCCUUCAACUUAACUUGAAGUAAAUUCAAGUCAUUCUCGUCACGAGAGUCAGGAUCGAUGGAUUUUAAAAUUGUCCUGGUUAUAUUAACUGCGUCAAAAUGAUCAGAAACGCAUACCCAGGCCUUGUGGUGAAAAGACUGGUUGAUGGUGGCAUCAUUGUAAACAAGCUGAGCAAGAGUUGUUUUACCCAUCCCUCCCAUGCCGACGAUGGAAAGGACUGAAACUCCGUUGGAGUUAUCACCUUUGAGAAACUCAAUCAUUUCUGUCUUCUCCUUGUGUCUGCCAACAUACUCCACAACUCCAUCCAGUACGGAAGUUGGUUGCAGCCUAGGUUGCUUUCCCUUGGAGGUUGCAGCUUGAGACAAAAUCUCACUCAACCCCAAACUACUUCUUCGUGUAGUCAAACUAUUCAGUGUAUCAGUGAUGUCUUUCACCUUCGUGAUCAUGGAAUUAUUAAACUGAAAAGAAGUGGGAGGGAAAAUACUACGAAUAAUCCUUUCAGGAAUGAAUUUCCGGACCUUACUAGGUCUGGCUUGAGCUUGAGUGUCUUGGAGAUUGAGGCGUAACUCUUCAUAAGCGAACUCGUCCAAGAUGUCAUCCACAUCGUAAGCCAAGUCCUGGAGAUCCUCCAACCAUUUCUUCACACCCAUGUUCUUGAUCUGCUUCUCCUCUGCAUCGUCCAACACUGCUUGGAUAUCAGACAAUAUGGACUGCCACUGCUUGAGCUGCUGGUGGAGUUGCUUAUGAUCAGCAACAAAGUUGAGCGCAGAGUCGAGCGAUUUGCCCACCAACAG